AAAAAAAAAGAAAUUAUAGUGAAAUUGAUUGCAAAUGAGGCUAAAUUAGAAACAAAUAUUGGAAAAAAAAAACUCCGAAUAAUUUUCUUGAAACUCAUUCUCUCUGUGUUAUCCUGAAUUUGAGGCUUUCUGCACCAAAAACAAACUCUUGAAUGAAGGUAUUGGUGCAAGGACAAUAUGCUACUACUUAAAUAUGAAAUGAAAAAAAAGUGAGCGAAAGAUCGCACCGAAUCGAAGGUAAAUUGAAUUUCUAGCCUAAGAAAAAAAAAUCAUUUGCAGCUGCAGCUGUACUGUACACUAAGGGGGGGGGGGGUUUCUUCGUUCUUUUUGUUUUGGAGUGACUCUCCAACUUGUUACUGUUGAUAUUCAGAUGAGUGUGGCCUCGUGAAAUCUAGCACAGUGAAAAAAAGGACCAAACGAAACAAGCCAUUAAACAUUGUGCCCAUUAAACAGGUCCAAAACAGGAACAAGAACACAAGAUAGCACACCUGUUGUUGCAGCUCUGCAGGUAGGGGAAUGUGUUAUUCCCUGAGCAAAUAAUGGGGGCCCUUUUGAUUCCAUUUGGGACAGAGGGAACCUACAAUUAUUGCUGUAAGAGUUUGGAUUGGUCUUUGGCUGAUGCUGAUGAAUGUGGCUUCAUUUCUAAGUAACAGAAAAUGACAACAACGGGUUCGUCGUCAUUUAUGUUGGGUGGGUCCCCCGCAAAGUGUCUUCCUCUCUAUAAGUUAAUUAGUAUGUUUGACAAAUUUAUAUAGUACUUUAGACUGCAGGUAUGAACCAAUCAAAAUUCUUUACGUUAUAUAUGUCUGUACAUCUGCAAUCUAUGAGAAGGUAAUACUUGAGGGGCUUCUCAGUAACGCUUAAAAGAAUAGCAUCUCUCAAUCUGUAAAGACAUGUUACCGUAUUAGAGUUUUAUCAGAUGUGUAUUCUGUAAAUUAGGAUUUGACAAAAUAAGGAUAUGGCACGAGUCCUUUAGCGACCCUUGCGGAGGCAAGCAAGCUCAGCGAGACAACAGGCAUGAGUCUUUUUCAAUGCCUAUUGUCUCGCUCCUUAGUUCCUAUCUGCUCUAGCCGCUCGCUGUAAUAGCUUUCAUGCAUCUUGGAUGGCUCACGCCUCCUACUCCGGGUAUUUUCCCUCAGCUAGAGGUUGCUCGGUGGUCGAUCGACCUGCUGCAUGCGUACAUGGGUGCAUGCGUAAGGACAUGGUGAGUGACUCGACUCAUACUGCGGUAACCAUAGUAAACGCCUCCUUGUCCCGAAAUGGACGUCCGAUUUAAAUGACCAGGUACAACAUCGCACUUGGACACCCGAGGAUUGCGGAAGCAGCAGCAGACUGGCUCGAUGCUCGUGUCUCCAUCGACAACUUGCGCAUCCAAUUUGGAGAUUUAAGCACCAUUGUGACAGCCAGCUGUUUGCAAAUCGCUGCUCAUUUUUGGUUCGACAGUUAGCUCCACAAAGACUCGGUCGCAGUCGGCGCGUACGUUUGCCAAAUGAGCCCAGCUAGAUCUUUAUUAGGUAAUUGAGCUCGGUUGUGUUCCGUCGGUUUGAUUAUUAAUUCUUGGAAAAUAUAAAAUGCAGACAAGAAUAAUAGAUUGCAGAAAAUUAUUUUUGGAUUUUUGGACGUUGCACCGAUAAAAUUCCAAUAAUAAGUUGAGUUUAAUAGUUCAGAUGUGACGAAAUUUCAUAUAAAUAAGAAUCCUCACAAUUCUUUUUCUAGGGGUUAGUAGGUGGGUCAGCAUCCCAGGCCGCGUGGUUAAGGUCCGAUUAUGUCAAGUCAUUAUCGAGACUACUAAGUGUUGUAUGUAUAUGUUUUAUUCAGUGAAUUAGUUGUCCUUUUCGUUAGAACAAAAGCAAAAAGUAUCUAAAUUCGUCGGGCACAAAAAUGCCAAAAGAGAAUCGAGAAAGAGAGAAGAAAAAUAGAGCCAUACGGAUUUACAUGAUUCGGCCACUGGCCUAUAUCCACGAAUGAAGACGUAAUGGAGAUCUUCAUUAUAAUCAAACUGAUGUAGAAAAUAUGCUUCUCUUAUAAAACACUAGCUAGUUUAAAAAAAUAUACUCAUACUCCCUCUCAUCUACCACACCAGAUCCAUAGAAUAAAGAUUAUAUUUAUAAUUGUGGCUAAAUCCUAAUUCGACUAGGAAUACAAAUCCAUUGAGACUAUGUGUAAUCUCAAUUAGAUUAGGCAUAAUCUAAACUUAACUUAAUGGGAUAACCAAAUCAGAAUAUAGUUAGAAAAUCUUGUUGUUCCAGAAUUCGAGACAUCUAACACUUAUCGUACAGCUUGAGCUUGUGGAAUAGUGAUUAGUGCUAACGAUCCGCAUUAUGGUCUCCUUAUUACAGAGUAAUGUGACCUGCACCGAACUGAAGCUCCAAUAGCUCUAGAGAGUCUUUAACCAUAGGGUUUCUAAAGUAAUCUGCUAUUACAUUACGCAAGUUUCAAACCAACUUUAUACAAUGAAAUCAUAAAAAUGAUCAAACGAUAGAGCAAACGAGAAUAUUAUAAGUGAAGACAAUUCUCUAAUUAAUGAAGGAGAAAAUUUAUGCUCAGCUUAUCUUCCUUCUCAAGAGUAGAUUCAACUUUAAAAGCCCUUUUCCUUUCUUCUCGGAGUGAAGUGCAUGUUUGGUCCGCAAACUAUGAGGCGGGUGACAUUUUGGUUCUCAAACUUUAAUUUACUAUAAUUUUUUGGUCAAACUUUCAGAAUUGUUGCAAUCAAGUCUCGAAACUGAGUUUACGUAAUUAAAUAUUUGACGUAUCGUUAAUGUAAAAGUGAUGUAUCACUUUAUUUUAUUGUUGCAUCAUUAAUCACAAUAUUUUUACAUAACUUUACAUUAAUAAUUUGUCAACAUUUAGUUCGCUUAAUUAGAAUAUAGAACUUAAUUGCAAUGAUUCUAAAAUUUGAAUUAAAAGUUACUAUAUAUUAAAAUUUGAGAACCCAAAUGUCACUUGACUAAUAAUUUUUUUUAAAAAAAUCUUCCGUCUCUUUCAAUUUCUUUGUUCCCUAGACCUAGGGUUAUAAAUAGCACUACAAUAGACGUCUAUUAAUUGCAUAAUUCUACAAGAACCCCAUAUUUGCUACUAUUAAUUCAGAUUGAUUAUUAAAUAUUUUCGCAUUACAUAAUAUAUAGUACAAGAAAUCAUUUUCUGAAGCAUCAUUCAAUUAAAUAGUUCUGAAGCAUUUUUAAUAUAUAAUUAUCAUAUUGCCCUAGAUGUGACUAUUCUCCAUCUAUUUCGCAUAUAAUUAGUUAGGUAUUAUAAUCCUGAUCAGUAAUUUAAUUGUUGCAACGAAGGCUUUCUCUAGGACUUUUUAGACUACUAAGUCUACUGAAUAUUUUUAUUGUAAAAACAGUUAUUCAAAAUUUUUAGGCGGCGGAUGGUUUACCAUUUUUAGAAAAUAGUGAAUGAUUCAUCGCUUUCACAUAUAUAACUUAUAUGUUUUUUACAUUUGAACUCGAAAAAUAAUUUUAUUACUUUGCAGAAAACAGUGAGUGAUGCGGUAAUUCAUUCACCGCAUAUAACUAAUUUUGUAAAUAACUUUCUUACAAAAUUAUUUUUGUAAUUAUAAUAUUCUUUAAGGCUAUUAAUAAAUAAAUUCUUUUCUCUAGUUCACAACAUUGACAUUUGGCAAAAACUGAGUAGUAACUUGUUCCAUUUUAUAUUUUCCUAAAAUUUGAUGGGGUUCGAGCUAAUAAGCAAUGACAAAAUUAGAAAAGCCUAUUUUUCGUUUUCAUACUAUGUUUGAGUUUGUAGCUAGGAAGAGAGCUAUUUGUUAUGAGAAAGUACAGUAAAAAAAAUAUUCUAUUUAUUUUCAUAAGUAAUAACGUGCCAUGCACAUCAAAUCAGACUUAAUAUGUGAAAUUUAAGAUCCCACCGACAAGUAGAGGCAAAUAUGUACAUAUAUGCCCACAAAAUGCAUUAUGGGCAAAAGUGCACCAAGAAAAUUUUAUAUUUAUUUUCAUAAAUGAUAGCUUAUAGUGUUGUUUAGACAUAGGCCAUAUUUGGAUGCAUAAAUAUUGUAUUCUGCAUCUCUUUUUGAUUGCUUCAGAAACUUGUAAUAUUUGAUAGAUAAAAAUGUGACUAAAUGCUAAGAAUGAAUACAAUGAAUACAAUGAAAAUAAGAUAAGUCACCUCGCAAGUAAAAGAUAAUAUGUUACCGGCUUAUUUGGAUGCAUAAAUAUUGUAUUCUGCAUCUCUCUGAAGCAAUUGUAUUCUGCAUCUCUCUUUGAUUGCUUCAGAAGCUUGAAAUAUUUGAUAGAUAAAAAUGUGAUUAAAUGCUAAGAAUGAAUACAGUGUUCAGCUUUUAAAUUAUUUUUUAGGAAUAAGAUAAGUCACCUCACAAGUAAAAGACAUUAUCUUACUAAAUUUUAGACGUCAAAAUCUACUAACGAGGAAAAAUUAAUCAAACUCUUUAACUUUCAAUCAUACUAUAAAAUGUAUUUUUUUUGAGAGAUAGGUACCAUGCUAUCUGCUUCGUUUAUUUUAUUUAGAAAUAAACUUAACUAAAAAUAUAAAUCAACUAGGAUUCGAACCUGGGACCUUAAGUAUCAACCAUUUAAAGCUCUUUGUCACUUGUGCUAGAAAAAGUCGAUAAUCAUACAAUGAAAUGUUCAUACAUAAUUUUGUUAAUUUGAUUUUUAUACACCUAUCGAAACAGAGAGAAUAGCUCCGCCUGUAUCUACCCCAAUUUCUUUUCACCUAAUGAUAAGAUUUUGUGAUGCGAGCCAAUUUGGCGUUAAAGUUCCUAGAAAAACGCAAUUCAACCAAGAUGACUUGAAAAUUUCGUUGAAUUCAGUAAUUUUUACAAUCGGCGCGAUAAAUUUUUAAAUGAUCAUAGCUUUUUAUUCGAGUAUCUGAUUUCAGUGUGCAACCCUAAUUCGAAAAACACUUUUUCGCGUCAAAUGACAUUAAGUUCAGAGAUAUAUUAGGAUUUAUUAUCUUUGUCUAAUAAUAGAAUUGGGAUCUUGCUUUUAUACAUAGGGGUGACAUUGGGUUAAUAUAAUUAGAUUUUUUUUUUUUUUAUGAUUUGAAUAAUAAUAUUUUGUCUUUGUCGAAGAAUUUAAUUUUCGUGUAUCAUCUUUUUUCAUCCUUAUGUUUCUUCUCUCUCAACACGGCUUAAGUCUGCAUUCACUUAAGUUGGAAAAAAUGAAACAAAAUAAGAAUUAGUAAACAAGAUCCUUUUUUUUUUUUUUUUUUUUUUCUUCUCUCUGAGAUAAAGAAAAGUAAAAAGUUUUAAGGCCUGGGAGUGGGGACCAAGUAAGCAUGCAUUAUGAUGCGUGGAGUGCCAGCAGCAGACUGCAAAUUGCCCUGCUCCAGUGCUCCUUGGGGAGCCGGCGGCUGGUUUCGAGCUGGUUAGAAAAUGACUCGUACGGUGGCAUCACUUUUCCGACCAAUAUGCCAUAUAUUCCUGCAGGCAUGGGAGAUGAUACAACUGGUUAUGAUUCGUCUGUAUUGAUACUUAUCUAAAAUAUUUCUAAUUUAUAUGAGAUAAAAAAUAAAAUUUAAAGAUAAAUUUUAUUCUGUUUAAAUUUUUAUUUGUGUGGGAUCCGGUUAGAACAAAAUUGUGAUUAAUAUCUUUCCUAUGCCGUAUAAAUAUAUAAGGUAUUGGCCACAUACGAUAUACAAAAAAAAAAGAAAAGAGAAUAACCUCUCGACCAAAAUGCUCUCUAUCUUGGAUUCACUCUAGGGUAUCAUCAAAAACCCUAGAGAUUUGGACAGUGUGCUGUGAUCGACUUUGAUAGUCAAAUUGGAACGAUAAAGAACAACGCUGAAGACAAAAAUGUUCUAGAAGUCGAGAUAGAUUCUAGAUGGAUCAAGGAGUUCGUAAAACAAGACGACAUCGGAUUUUAAUAAUCACAAUAUAAUUCCGCAGCAAAAAAGUAUGUAAAAUUUAUGUAAUUUUUUUUUUUAUCUUGAUUUGGUUUAUUAAUUUUCCAACAAAUAAUAUUCGGGAAUGUAGUUACACACGUAUUCAAAAGGUUAAAAAGUAACGACCUUAAUUUUCUAUACUACGGAACAUAACAUUUGAAUUGGGUAAGUAAGUUCCAAAUGUGUCGAUUUCACUAAUAAACGUUUUUAAGUCACGCUUGCAUUAAUUACAUAGAUAUUAAUUUUACAGUAUAUAUUAACACCUAAUUUUGAAAGCGAUCGAGCACAAAUUCGAGAGAGAAACGUAGAGGGCUUUGGAGUAGGAUUCAUGCUUCGGUGGACAAUUAUAGUUUUUAGGUGGAUUACUUCGGUGAAAGUACGUAGUACCUUGGCCUCGAUAAAGCUUGCUGAAUGUUAAAUAUAAAAAUGUUUAAACACCACCUUCUAACAGCUUAAACUUUUAGAGUACAACGGUUGUUUUACAUGGUAUUAAAGAAGGAGGUCCUGAGUUCGAGUCACGCCAGACUCCUAGCAUAUUAAUUUUCUUCCAUUUAAUUCAAACUCACGUCAUGGGCCGAUUAAAAAAGGCUCGAGCCCAGACGUAGAGUACAAUGGCUGAAAGCGAAAGGCUUCGGCAAGACCCGAGAAGCCAAGUUUGGAGGACGUAUGAAAGUCCAAUUUCAAACAGUAAGCACUGAUGGAUCUAUAAAAAGGUAUGAUUUUCCAAUUCAAGGAAAUGAUGCAUAACCGCCACAUGAAUGUCGCAAAGUAUUCGUUCGUAUCUUUUGUGGAAGCGACUCGCUCUAAAGUGCAUGAAGUUCUAAAUCAUAGAGAUUGAUUUACGUGUCCUUUAUCGUCCACGAAAGCCUUUUAACGCUCCCAACCUGCGGUAGAUCAAGCUAUGGACAAAUUAGACGUAAAAUUCACUAUUUAAGAUUUUCUAGAAGCAAUAGAUUAAUAAAGAGUAUGGUUUCUCUCUCACGACCGCUGCUAAGUAUACGGAUCAAAACUAAUCAAAUCAAAAUUCAAUUUUUAGUUGAGAAAAUAUACUUAAGUAAAAAAAAUAAUUUUAAAACACAUAAGUAAUAAAAAUGCCCUACACAUGUACUACAAGGCACUUUUUUUUAAUUUACUCCCUUUAUUUUAAUGUUUUUAUUAACAACUUACUAAUUGCCAUUAUAAAGAAGACUAGUUUUAUAAUAAGUUUUUUUUGCAGAAUUAUAAUUAAUUUACUAUUGUCAUAAAAAAUAAAAAUAGAGAAAAUAGUAUUUUAUAUAUGAUAUAUAUAUAUACUAUAUAGUAUAUAUAUAUAUAUUAAUAUAUAUAUACUAUAUAUAUAUAAUAUAAGUCCGGCUACUAUGCUAUCGCUGCCACGAGCGCUCCGUGCCUACCAGAUGUGUUUUCGAUAAUGCGCUUCCCAAAUUCGACGAUCGCGCUCUGUUAGACCUGUUGACUAUUCAACUCAUCUGAAAGUAUUUGGAAGCUAACAUUCAGUUUUUUCGAUAUCGAUUUGACUAGUGAUCCAAAAGAUCUCAAGAUGUGACAAUUUAAUGGCCGAUUGGUGUUUUGUGAGUUUAACGGGUAAAACAAUCCAAUGCGAUGAAAAUGUGUAAUAGAAAAUUUUUUCACUAUUUUUAGUACAAGAUCAAUAUACUGAUUCUUGAAUUUAAAUCUUUUCAUCAUCAUUUUCGUGAGAUUUUUAUUUUCAGCCGUUCAAUCAAUUUAGACUACUUGUUGAUAGUUAAAUAAUAUCGAAAAAAAGUUAUGAAAUUUAAGUUCUAAAUAACUUUCAAUAGUGUAGAUCAAGUCUAACGGAGCCGAAUCGUCGAUUUGGAAGCCGCAUUCAUCGAAAAACUUGGUGAGCACGGAGCGCGUCCGUGCUACUGAUAGUAUAGUAGCCCUAGUUUUAAUAUAAUAUUAUAUUAUAUUAUAUACUAUAUAUAUACUAUAUAUACUUAUCAUAUCGUAGCGUCUCCUGUGCUAUUAGAGGCACGGAGGCCUCCGUGCUCCUAAAGCCGUUUGUCGAUGAUGGAAGUUUUCAAAUUGACGUCCGAUCUGUUAGACUCUGAUCUAACGUAUUUGAACUAUCUACUAGAAAAAUACAAUUUUGCGAUUUAUUCGUAUCAUACUUGUCGAUCGAAGGGUCAAAAUCACGCGGCGAAGAAAAAAAUCUCACAAAAGUGUGACUAUAGCAUUGAAAAUUUUCCGAUCAGCAGAUAUUGCAUCUCACUGUAAAUACGUAUAAAGAAUUUUUUUUAUCAAAUUUACAUCUAAUUUGAAUGCUUCUACACCGUUAAAUACUUGCAAAUGGCAAGUAUGCAACGGCAUUCAAUAAAUAUUAAUUUUGAAGCCCUUUGCGAUCGAAUAGGAGUAAAUAAUAUCGAAAAAGUCGGCAAAAAUUUAUUUUCAGAUUAGCUUCAAAAUAUGCAGAUCAAGUCUAACGGAGCUGAUCGUCGAUUCGGACAGCUCCAUCAUCAAAAAGUGGCUGUAGGAGCACAGAGGCCUCACGUGCUCCUAAUAGCACUACAAGACCUACUAUAUAUAUAUAUAUAUAAAAAAUAAAAAAUAUAAUAUAUAAUAUAUAUAAUAUAUAUAUAUAAUAUAUAUAUAUAUAUAUAUAUAUAUUGUUAGAACAAAUACCGCAACGAAAAUUCGAUUGUGAUUAAAGAUCGAACUAAUUUUAGAUAAAGAUAAAAUCAGACUUACAAAUAAUCGCUAAAUUCCAAAUAAAGAUUUUGAUUGAUCCGGAAACGUGCGAGGCACUGCCCUAAAACGUAUUCCCAUCCUUAUAUGAGGGAUUAACCGGAAAUAAUACCCCAAGGUACGACCGAAAUUCCUCCUCCUGCGAGCACGAUCGUGAAGGAAGUUGACGGAGACUCGUUCAACACCCGAUGAUAAAAAGAUCAAAGCCAAAUAGAUCAAAAUAAUAUAAGAAAAAUAUAUGUCUUCUAAUGUUUCUCUCUGCAAUGUUCAUAUUAUGAACAGUGAAAAAAGUACUAUAUAAAAAGGUGUGAAUAGAACGUUGGAGACCCCCAACAUUCUACUCCAUUAAUUAAUUCCAUUUAAUUCAUGCUUUUAUGUGAAACUAGUUAAGUGCACGUGCAAUGCACGUUGCACAAAUACUAAAAAAUAAAAUUUUUAUAAAUACAUAUUAUAGAUUCGAUACAUAGUAUUUAAUCAUUACCAAAAUAAAAUGACAGAAAUAAGAAAUAGAAUUACAAUAUCAUCAAAAAAAAGAACACGAAUGCAUCUUGGUAUCAUUGAAAAAAAACACAAAAUUUGUCACUAAACUAACUGAAAAUGUCACCAUCAGUUUCCCUUUCGUACAAAUUGCACUGAAAGUAAGAAAAAUAAUAAAGUAAAUAUUAGUAAAUCAUCAGAAUAGAUAAAAUUAAUAAAAAAUAUAAAUUUAAUAAGAAUUCAUAUAAGUAAAAAUUUUUAGCUUAAUUUUAUUUCUUGAGUUUUUGGAAUAGGUGGAUUAAGCACAAUUUUACUCGCAAAACUUUGCUAAAUAAAUUGAUCCUGAUAAAUAAAUUUAAAAUACUACAGAAAAAAUAAAAUAUUAAAUAGUAUAUUUAUCCUAAUUAUCGAUAUUAACGUGCACUGCUGUUAAUAUAACAACUGAAUUGUUUGCAAUAGCCUCUCUCCACAUGCCAAUGUGUGUUAGCACUAUCUUGUUCUAGAGGAUCAAUCUAAUUUGACUCAUACUUCAAUCCAUUCAAAUACUUAGUUAUUAAUAAUUUUUUUCAUGUGAAAUGAUAAAAAGGGAAACACUUUAUCUUCAUGUUUAGGACGAUUAACACCAUACAAAUAAAGAGUGAUUGAUUUGGACAACCAUUCCUAUAACAUCUAAGAAAACUGAAAUAGUAUAGAAGUUAGUAGUAGUGUAAAAGGUGGUGAAGGCGACAAUGUGUCGGCGUCGAUGACGACGAUAACGAUGAGGAAGAUGAUGACGAUAUACUGGUAUCGACAAUGGAGAUAAAUGAGAAAUAAUAUUACUAAAAAAUAUUUGAGAAUAUUUGAGAAAAAUAUGGUAAAAAUAAAAAAAAAUAUUACUAAAAAAAAUAUAUGUUUUAUAUUUGAAAAACAUAUAGAUAAAAAUGAAAAAAUACUAAAAAAAAUAUGCUAAAACAGUAUAAAGGCACAUUAAAAAAAAUUUAGAUAAAAUUAAAAUACCACUCUAACUAUGGCAAAUGCGAUAAUGUGCCGACGGAAGUGAUGUGAUGAUGUACCGGUGUCGACGAUGGAGAUAAAUAAAAAAGGAUAUUAUUAAAAAAAUAUUUGAGAAUAUUUAAGAAAAUAAUAGCAAAAAUGAAAAAAUAUAUUACUAAAAAAAUAUAUACUUAUAUUUGAGAAAUAUAUAAAUGAAAAUGAAAAAUAUCAAAAGAAUACUAAAACAGUAUAAAGGCAUAUUAAAAAAAGCAAAAUUUUCAGAUGGGAUCAAAAUACCUCUUCAAUUAUGCGAAGGCGGCGAAGGUGGCGAAGGCGAUAACGUGUCGGCGCCGGUGAUGAUGAUGACGACGAUGUACCAGUACCAACAACGGAGACAAAUUAGAAAGUAUAUUACAAAAAAAAGUAUUUGAAAAUAUUUUAAAAAAAUAUAGAUAAAAAUAAAAAAACAUAUUACUAAAAAAUAUAUAUUUUAUAUUUGAGAAACGUAUAUGUGAAAAUAAGAAAAAAUUAAAAAAAAAUGCAAAAACAGUUUAAAGGCACAUUAAAAAAAAGAAAAAUUUUCAGAUGGGAUUAAAAUACCUCUUUAAUUAUGACGAAUGUGGCAAACACGACAAUAUACCGGCACAGACAAUGAUGAUGAGUAAUAUGCUGACGAUGUACCGCUGUGACAAAUGAAAAAAUAUAUUACUAAAAAAAUAUAGAUAAAAAUAAAAAUGGAUACUACUAAAAAAUAUAUAAAGAAACGCGUAGGCGAAAUGAGAAAAAUACCAAAAAGAUAUACUAACAAAAAAAAAAUAUGAUGUAAUAUUGUGUGAAUAAAAUUAUGAUGAGAUAAGAUGGAUAGUGUAGAUAUUAUAUGCGAGGUAUUAAGAUAUAUUCUAUAUUGUAGAAUGCGGAGAAUUAUUUGUGGGAUUAUUUAAAUAUUGAAUAUUUUGCAAAAAAAAUUAAAAUUAUAUUUAAUUAACGAUAUUAUUUGAUUGGCGGGUAUUAAUUUAUUUUAAGAAAUAUCUAUGCUUUUAUGAACGCAUUAUGUUAAAUAUUGAAUAAUUUACUAAAGAUAAUUUAAAAUUAUAUUUAAUUAACUAUUUAGUUUUGAUUGGGCGGGUAUUAAUUUUUUUUAGAAAUAUUCUAUGUUUUUAUGACGCAUUAUUUAAAUAUUGAAUAUUUUAUUAAAAAUAUUUAAAAUUAUAUUUAAUUAACGAUUUAGUUUUGAUUUUGGGGUAUUAAAAUUUUUUUAGCAAUAUUUAACACUUCUAUAGCGCGCCAAAUUUUAAUACUCAUCAAAAUUAAUUAAAUCUACUAUCUUAUGUAAAGAAAAAUUUACUAUUAUGAAUUGAAAUUCAAAUUAUCAAAUUCGCGGAUAUUAAAUUUUGGCGGGCAUUACAAAUUUAAAAUUUAAUUUUGAAUAUUAUGUAAUUGACAAGUAUUAUGUUUGAGAAAAAAAAAUAUUUGAGAAAACGCUUGAAUAGAAAUAAAUUUAAUUUUACGUAUUAUGUGAUUAGCGGAGGUAUUACGUGAUUGUCGGGUAUUACGCUAGAUAAGAGAUAAAUUUAGUUUUACGUAUUAUAUGAUUGGUGGGUAAAAUAAAAAAAAAUUUGAGAAACGCGGCGUAGAUAGGAGAUAACGGAUAUUGAGGAUAUUUUUGUCAAUAAAAAUGACAGAUACUUUUAUUUUUAUUCAUUGGAUGAGAUCCAAUGGCGAAAAUUUAAUAUUUAUAUUUGAGAAUAAAUUAUUAUUUGAAGAUUUAUUUAAAAUGUAUAAGAUAUAUUCUAUAUUUGAGAACAUAGAGAAUAUUUCGGUGGGUAUUAUUUAAAUAUUAAAUAUUUUGCUAAAAAUAUUUAAAAUUAUAUUUAAUUAACGAUUUAGUUUUGAUUGAAAUAUUCUAUACUUUUAUGACGCAUUAUUUAAAUAUUGAAUAUUUUGCUAAAAAUAUUUAAAAUUAUAUUUAAUUAACGAUUUAGUUUUGAUUGGGCGAGUAUUAAUUUUUUUUAAAAAUAUUCUACACUUUUAUGACGCAUUAUUUAAAUAUUGAAUAUUUUGCCAAAAAUAUUUCAAUAUAAUUAAUGAUUUAGUUUUGAUUUGAGGGUAUUAAAAGUUUUUUGACAAUAUUUAACGCUUCUAUGAUGCGCCAAAUUUUAAUACUCAUCAAAAUUAAAUUUACUAUCUUAUGUAAGAAAAAAUCUACUAUUAUAAAUUAAGAUUCAAAUUAUCAAAUUCGAGGGUAUUAAAUUUUGGCGGGUAUUACAAAUUUAAAAUUUAAUUUUGAAUACUACGUAUUGGCAGGUAUUACAUUUGAAAGGAAAAAAUAUUUGAGAAAACACGUUGAUAGGAAAUAAAUUUAAUUUUACGUAUUACGUGAUUAGCGGAGGUAUUACGUGAUUGAUAGGUAUUACGUUAGAUAAGAGAUAAAUUUAGUUUUACGUAUUACAUGAUUGAUGGGUAAAAAGAAAAUAUUUGAGAAACGCGGCGUAGAUAGGAGAUAACGAAUAUGGAGGGUAUUAAUGUCACAAAAAGUGACAGAUACUUUUAUUUUCAAUCGUUAAAUAAGAUCUAAUGGCAAAAAAUUAAUAUCUUUAUUUGAGAAUAAAUUAUUACUUAGUGAAUUAUUUGAAAUGAUUGGUUGAAAAUUACUGGAUAUGAAAAUAUUAGUAAAAAGGAUAGAGGCAUUUUUGGAAAGAGGAAACAAUUCAAAACUCACGCUUUUAUAAGUAGUAUAGAUAAAGAAGGAAUAAAUUAAAUUUAAUCCAUCUAAUUAAUUAACAUAAUAAAAGACAAUAAAUGAGAAUAAUUAUAAAAUUAAAUGAUAUUUAGAGAUUUUGAAUUUUUCACCAAUAUAAACAAUGGGAUUUUGCUACUAACAGUAACCCAGUCCAACUCAUAUAGAAUUAGGCUGGAAUACUAUUAAUAGUAAAACGCUCUUUUUGCUAUCAAGUUUUUAACCCUUGGAUGAAAAAUUNNNNNNNNNNNNNNNNNNNNNNNNNNNNNNNNNNNNNNNNNNNNNNNNNNNNNNNNNNNNNNNNNNNNNNNNNNNNNNNNNNNNNNNNNNNNNNNNNNNNNNNNNNNNNNNNNNNNNNNNNNNNNNNNNNNNNNNNNNNNNNNNNNNNNNNNNNNNNNNNNNNNNNNNNNNNNNNNNNNNNNNNNNNNNNNNNNNNNNNNNNNNNNNNNNNNNNNNNNNNNNNNNNNNNNNNNNNNNNNNNNNNNNNNNNNNNNNNNNNNNNNNNNNNNNNNNNNNNNNNNNNNNNNNNNNNNNNNNNNNNNNNNNNNNNNNNNNNNNNNNNNNNNNNNNNNNNNNNNNNNNNNNNNNNNNNNNNNNNNNNNNNNNNNNNNNNNNNNNNNNNNNNNNNNNNNNNNNNNNNNNNNNNNNNNNNNNNNNNNNNNNNNNNNNNNNNNNNNNNNNNNNNNNNNNNNNNNNNNNNNNNNNNNNNNNNNNNNNNNNNNNNNNNNNNNNNNNNNNNNNNNNNNNNNNNNNNNNNNNNNNNNNNNNNNNNNNNNNNNNNNNNNNNNNNNNNNNNNNNNNNNNNNNNNNNNNNNNNNNNNNNNNNNNNNNNNNNNNNNNNNNNNNNNNNNNNNNNNNNNNNNNNNNNNNNNNNNNNNNNNNNNNNNNNNNNNNNNNNNNNNNNNNNNNNNNNNNNNNNNNNNNNNNNNNNNNNNNNNNNNNNNNNNNNNNNNNNNNNNNNNNNNNNNNNNNNNNNNNNNNNNNNNNNNNNNNNNNNNNNNNNNNNNNNNNNNNNNNNNNNNNNNNNNNNNNNNNNNNNNNNNNNNNNNNNNNNNNNNNNNNNNNNNNNNNNNNNNNNNNNNNNNNNNNNNNNNNNNNNNNNNNNNNNNNNNNNNNNNNNNNNNNNNNNNNNNNNNNNNNNNNNNNNNNNNNNNNNNNNNNNNNNNNNNNNNNNNNNNNNNNNNNNNNNNNNNNNNNNNNNNNNNNNNNNNNNNNNNNNNNNNNNNNNNNNNNNNNNNNNNNNNNNNNNNNNNNNNNNNNNNNNNNNNNNNNNNNNNNNNNNNNNNNNNNNNNNNNNNNNNNNNNNNNNNNNNNNNNNNNNNNNNNNNNNNNNNNNNNNNNNNNNNNNNNNNNNNNNNNNNNNNNNNNNNNNNNNNNNNNNNNNNNNNNNNNNNNNNNNNNNNNNNNNNNNNNNNNNNNNNNNNNNNNNNNNNNNNNNNNNNNNNNNNNNNNNNNNNNNNNNNNNNNNNNUGCUAUAUCACCACUUUUUAUGAGAUUUUUAUUUUCAGCCGUUAAUUUUGAACCCUUUCGAUCGUUAGGUAAAUGAUAUCGAAAAAUCGCAAAAUUUAUUUUCUAGUUACUUCAAAUAUGCUAGAUCAAAUCUAACAGAGCCGAUCGCCGAUUCGAAAAUUCUAUAAUCGAAAACGGCUUAGGAGCACGGAGGCUUCCGUGCUCCUAAUAGCACACAAGACCUACUCUACAUAUAUAUAUAACUAGGCUGGAAUACUAUUAAUAGCACUAAUAACUUGGUGUUAUUAAGUUUUCUGUCCUUUAAUUAAAAGAUGUGCGGUUAGGAUGAUAUGGGCCCCCUAGCAUUGAGUAGGUAGUUAGUUAAAUAGUAUAAUCGAACGGAUGAAAAUGAUAAAAGAGGUAAAUCUAACGGCAGAAAACUUGAUAGCACCAAAUGGUUCGUGCUAUCGAUAGUACCCCAGCCGGACUCUCUCUCUCUCUCUCUCUCUCUCUCACUGUGUGUAUAUAUAUAUAUAUAUAUAUAUAUAGAGUUCGGCUACUAUACUAUUAUGAGUACGAUCGCUCUCGUACUCAUAAGUUGUUUUCGUUAAACGUUAAACAACGUUAAACGUUAUAUCUAGAGCAUUUGAAAUAUCCAGAAAUCAAAUUUCAUAAUUUUUCGACAUCAUUUACCUUACGAUCAAAAGCUCACAAAAUUGACAAUUUUUAACGGCCGGUAUGAAAUACUUGCUAGUUUAAUGGUGCAAAAGAAUCCGAAUAGGUUGAAUUUUUUAUAGAAAAUUCUAUUCACUACCUAGAUAAAGAUCAAUAACUCCGAUCUGAAAUUGAAGGAUCCGAUCAUCCUUUUUAAGACAUCGUUCGAUUUUGACCGUUCAUUUUAUGCUCGCUUGAUGGGCUUUAUUAUGAUUUUGAAAAAUUACGAAAUUUAUUUUCUAGAAGUUUCAAAUACUCUAGAUCAUAUUUAACGGAGUGGAUCGUCGAUUCGGAAGCUCCUUCAUCGAAAAGAACUUAUGAGUACGAAGGGCCCAAUACUGAUAAAUAGUAUAGUAACCCUACUCUAUAUAUAUAUAGAGUACGAUCGCACUUGUACUCAUAAGUUGUUUUUGAUAAUAGAGCUUCCGAAUCGACGAUCCACACCGUUAAACGUUAUCUAGAGCAUUAAAAUCAAAAUUUAUAAUUUUUCAACAUCAUUUACUUUACAAUUAAAAGGUCACAAAAUUGACAAUUUUUAACGGUUGGUAUGGGAUAUUUGCUAGUUUAACGGUGUACAAGAAUCGAAAUUGGUUGAAUUUUUUUAUAGAAAAUUCUUACAUGAAAGAAUGCCACUUACUUGCAUGGUUACUAUGUACAUAUCUCUCUACUACAUAGAGGUAAAAUUGUAUGAUACAUAAUGUAUGCAUUUUAAGCAUUCUAAAAUUUCCAUAUGCUCUAUCUAGUAUGAUAUGUAUGAUUUUUUAUUUUACAAUAAAGAAUAUAACAUAGGGGGAGUUCAUCCAUUUCGGUGAGGUCAAACCCACCGGAUCUCCUUGCAACCCUUUUAUUUGCGCGAACGAAUGUGCCCAUAAGUCUCCUAACUUCCUAGAGAAAAUUCUAAGAGGGUUAAACGAAAUGAACGAACACCACACGCGUUCAUCUUUAACCAACCCAACAUUAGGUCAAAACUCACCUUAUAUGGUGUAGAACUCUUCCAGACCUCAAAUGGUGGCUAGGAUCCUUCUAAUCCAACCUAAAAUGAAGUUCUACACCCAUCAAUUAAGUCCCAAAAGCUACAAAUCAAAAGCUCCCAAAUAAAACCCUAAAUUCUCAUUUCUAUGUUUUCAUCUCUAAAAAUCCAACAAAACAUGAUCUAAAAGGAAGAUCAAAGCUACUGACCUCUCUUGAAGCCCCAAACCAAACUAGGAGUGAGUUAGGGUUAAAAAUCUUUCCUCAAGAAAGCUCCACUCUCCAAUCCAAGGCUUCUCCAAUCGUGAAAAUUCAACAUGAAGCAAGAGGAGAGGAAAAGAGAUCAAUCCAAACAAAAACCUCAAGAAAAGAGAGAAAUCCAAGGGAGGGGAGCUCUACCUGUGCUCUCCACAGUUUAGGGCUCAAAAGAGCUCUCUAAGGUUGUGAGGUGUUAUAUAGAGUAGCUACAAUAGCAAAAACACCCCUUCAAAAUAAGCAGUCUGCGGACUGCCCUGCGUACCAGUGACACGGGGAAAAGUACCGGUACCAAGCUGCUGAGCUCGCCAAACCUGAGCCUCGGUCAAGCAGGAAAACACACUGCAUACCGGUACCAGGUCCAGUACCGGUACUCGGGCAAUACAUUACCGGUACUCUGCCUCGCAGAGCUCAAACCCGAGAGCUCUCCUCUCGGUUACGCAACGCCAUUCCGGUACCUCUUCUCUGGUACUAGUAUCGGUACCAGCACCCGAAAACCUACAGCUUGAAGGUUUUGGUGCUAAGUACUCAUCCUCGCUCCUCAAGACGCGAGUAAUGGGUCGGAUCACCGUCAACGACCCUUCAGAAAAUCUGGAAAAGCUCAGAACACUAAUCAAACACUCGAAUCUUACAAUUUGCUAAAGUUCAAUGUAUUACAUUCUCCCCUCCUAAAAGGGAGUUUUGUUCGCGAAACUGGAAUUCGCAUUUCUCAAGCCUCCAUCUGAAAGCGAUGGGGAUAGCGCUCCUGCAGUGCGCUCUCCAACUCCUGCGUAGCCUCUCGCUCAUCGUGGUUGCUCCAAAGAACCUUCACAUAAGGAAUAUCGCGAUUUCGAAACUUCUUCACAUCGCGGGCCAAAAUCCUCACUGGCUGCUCUUCAAAGCUCAAGUCCUCCCAUAACUCCAAUGGCAAAGCAUCCUAAACAUGAGUCGGGUCGAAGAUGUACUUUCGGAGGAUCGAAACAUGAAAGACAUUGUGCACUCCCGAUAGGUUCGGCGGUAGAGUAAGUCGAUAUGCUACCGGGCCUUCACGCUCCAAAAUCUCAUACGGUCUAAUAAACCGGGGGCUCAACUUACCCCGAAUACCAAAUCUUUUAAUUCCCUUAGUCGGCGAGACCUUUAAGAAUACAUGAUCUCCGACUUGGAAUUCCAAAUCUUGCCGAUGCUUAUCAGCGUAGCUCCUCUGUCGGCUUUGAGCUGUCAACAAACACUCCCGAGCAAUGCGAACUUUAUCCUCAGUUUCCUGGAGUACAUCGGGGCCUAAAGUCAGUCUCUCGCCAACUUCACUCCAAUGAAGAGGUGAUCUACACUUUCGUCUAUAAAGUGCUUCGAAAAGUGUCAUCUUCAUGCUUGCUUCAUAACUAUUGUUAUAAGCAAACUCUGCCAUCGGUAAAUGCUGUGACCAUCCUCCUUGGAAGUUUAUCACGCACGCUCGAAGCAUAUCCUCUAGAGUCUGAAUAGUGCGUUCCGAUUGCCCAUUACUCUGAGGGUGAAAAACCGUACUGAAAUCCAAAUGCGUACCCAAGGUAUCCUGCAGACUCCUCCAAAAAAGGGAUACAAAUCGGAGAUCUCGAUCUGAAACUAUUGAAGUAGGUGCCCCGUGAAGUUGUACAAUCUCAUCAAGAUAUACCUGUGCAAGUCUCUCACCUGUCCAAGUCGUGUGAAUAGGAAUAAAGUGAGCCGACUUCGUCAAUCUAUCCACGAUCACCCAAAUAGCAUCAUGCCCGGCUUGUGAGUGAGACAAUCCCAUAACAAAAUCCAUAAUGAUCCUUUCCCACUUCCACACGGGAAUAAGUAAACUUUGAAGUUUCCCAGCGGGUAAUCGGUGCUCAGCUUUCACUUGUUGACAAGUUAGACAUCGAGCUACAAACUCGCCAACAUUCUUUUUCAUCCCGGGCCACCAAUACAAUAACCUCAAGUCCUUGUACAUCUUGGUGCCUCCCGGAUGUAUAGCAUAAGAUGCAUGAUGAACUUCAAGAAGAAUAUCCUCUUUAAUUCCUGAUUCCGCCGGUAUACAAAUCCGCUCGCGGAAACGCAACAACACUUGGUCGUCCACAAGAAAAUCACCGGUGCAACCGUCAGCCAUUUUAGUUCGAAUCUUUUGCAACUCCACAUUAUGAACUUGCAUUUCUUUAAUCCUUUCCAACAAUGUUGGUUGCACCACCAAAGCCAUCAAUCUCAAGGGUGUAUCAGGAGCCACCACUUUCAACUCCAACCGUUUCAUUUGCUCAAUCAACGGGGGUUGUGUGGCUACAAGCAUCGCUAAGUUUUCCAUCGAUUUCCGACUUAGCGCAUCCGCCACCACGUCAGCCUUACCCGGGUGGUAGAGAGUCGUCAAAUCAUAAUCCUUGAGUUGCUCCAACCAUCUGCGCUGCCUCAAGUUCAACUCCUUCUGAGUGAAUAAAUACUUUAGGCUCUUGUGAUCCAUGUAUACUUCGCACCGCUCGCCAUAAAGAUAAUGUUGCAAUAGCUUUAAUGCAAAAACUACGGCCGCCAACUCCAAAUCAUGCGUAGGAUAGUUCUUUUCAUAUUCCUUCAAUUGGCAAGAUGCAUACACGAUCACUUUUCCGUCUUGCAUCAAGAUACAACCCAAUCCGUUAAAGGAAGUAUCACUAUAAAUCACAUAUCCUGCUCCUGCAAUAGGCAAGGUUAGGAUCGGGGCGGUCACCAACCGAUCCUUCAACUCUUGAAAGCUCUUCUCGCACGCAUCAUUCCAAAUCAAAUUGGUGCCUUUGUGCGUGAGCCGCGUGAGGGGAGUAGAUAAUUUUGCAAACCCCUCAACAAAUCUCCGAUAGUAACCGGCCAAUCCAAGGAAGCUCUGAAUUUCCGUGACAGUCAUCGGUCUAGGCCAAUCCUUGAUAGCUUCAAUCUUUCUAGGGUCCACGGCUAUACACGACCUCAAGAUCAAAUGUCCCGAAAAUGCAACUUCUUGAAGCCAAAAUUCACAUUUCUUCAGCUUGACAAAGAGCUUCUUUUCCCGAAGCAUUUGAAGUACAAGUCUUAAAUGCUCCUCGUGAUCCUUAUCACUUCGGGAAUAAACCAAAAUAUCGUCGAUGAACACCACGACGAAUCUGUCUAUAUAAGGCUUAAAAACACGGUUCAUUAGAUCUAUAAAAGCUGCCGGGGCAUUGGUAAGCCCAAACGGCAUAACAGUGAACUCUUAAUAUCCAUACCGUAUUCUAAAAGCCAUUUUCGACACAUCCUCAGGUUUGAUCUUUAACUGGUGAUAUCUCGACUGCAAGUCAAUCUUGGAAUACACCUUAGAUCCUUGAAGCUGAUUAAACAAAUCAUCAAUCCUCGGCAACGGAUACUUGUUCUUGAUCGUGACUUUAUAGAGCUCACGAUAAUCCACGCACAAGUGAAGUGAUCCGUCCUUCUUCUUCAUGAACAAAACUGGUGCUCCCCAAGGCGAGACGCUCGGUCGGAUGAAACUUUUAUCCAGUAAAUCCUGCAACUGUGCCCUCAGCUCUUUCAACUCAGCCGGUGCCAUCCUAUAGGGUGCCUUUGAGAUUGUAGUAGUCCAAGGAACGAGAUCUACCACAAACUCAAUCUCUCUAUCAGGCGGCAUGCUUGGUAGCUCCGCUGGAAACACAUCACAAAACUCCCGUACUACCGCCGGGAUAUCCUCAAUCCUAAGGGUGUCAUCACCACCCCUCAGCACAACACUAGCCAAGUAGGCCGUACAACCCAUGCUGAUCAACUGUCUAGCUCGAGACGAGCUGAUCGUCAUCGCAAACAGCGAACUCUGACAUCCCCUGAACACCACUUUCUCCUCCCCCGGUUCUCUAAAAAUUACCAUUCUAUUCUUGCAAUUGAUAAUGGCGAAAUACUUGGUAAGCCAAUCCAUGCCCAAAACCACAUCAAACUCUCCAAGUUUGUGCAAUGUAAGCAGAUCCAUGGGCAUGAUCCAAUCUCCUACCCGAACAGGGCAACUGGGGCAAAACUCCCGAAUGUCCAACGUGUGGUCGGGCACAACAACACGUUUAGGAUGCAACAAAGAUACAAAUGGGAUGCCAUGCAACUCGGCAAACAGCCGAUUUAUGAAUGAAUGCGAUGCACCGGUAUCAAAUAAUGCUCGAACUCUAAUGCUAUUUAAUAAAAUAAUACCUGCCACCACAUCCUCGGCGGCUGCCGCCUCCACUGUCUGGGCCGCGUACAUAAGUCCGCUCGGGGCCUGUCGUGACCCCUCAGUCUGUCUCUGGACGGGCGGCCGCCCAGUCUGGUGGUAAGUAGAAGGAGUCCCCUGGCUAGGACCCGGUGAAGCCGGUGCCAAUGCAGGCGAUGGCGCUGGAAUAGAGCCCCUCGGGCAAUUAGUAUGAAAAUGGCCCUCUUGGCGACAUAAGUAGCACCUGCCCUGAUGUCGUGUGCACUGUCGUGGAGGAUGAGAACCACCGUAGAUCACACAAUGCGGAGUCUGGGGAUGAUCAAAACCUCCGCGCUGCGCGGCCGAGCCGCACCCUCACGACUGGCUCUUGGGAUGUCUCGGCAGCCUCCUAGAGCGCGUCUGACUCGCACCCUCAGCCGCGGGCCUCUUACCCUUACCCUUGUCCAAGCCCUCUCGGCGCUCCUGUACAUCCGUCGUGCCACUUUCCACAAUGAGUGCGCGGUUCACCACAUCUCGAUAGGUCUAGAGGUUAGAGGAUUGCACAAACUGAAAAAUUGAUGGCCGAAAUCCACGCUCAAAAAUGCAGGCCUUGUCUUCGUCAUCCCGCACGACGAAAUGCACACAAUGCAAGAGUCAGAAGAACACCCGCUCGUACUCUGCCACAGUCCGAUCCCCCUGGUGCAAGCCGUGCAUAUCUAUUUCCAUCUGUCUUUUGACGCUAUCCGGGGAAUACAUGGACACAUCAAAAGCUCCUUAAACCACCUCCAAGAAAUAGCUGAUAGAUCGGUGUUGGGGUUAUCUCGAAUGUCCAACCACCAACGAUAGGCCUCGCCGUCAAGAUGGUGAGUAGCGAGCCAUACCCUAUCACGCUCCUCUACAAAGGUGUCGUGGAAUAAUUUCUCCAUAUGUAUAAGCCACUUCUCCAUGAUCUAGUGGUCCACUUUCUCCGCGUUGAAGAUCCGUAGGUUGCACCUCCUGAACUCGUUGAGGCGAUCCAUAAGUCGGUCUUGCUCCGCUCCCUCAACCAUCACCGAAAAAAUCGCUCCCGCCAAAGACACCUGAGCUGGUGGUGCCACAAAAACCUCCUCUCGAGGCUCAACAAUAGACGCCGCUCGCGGAACACCGGGCACGGGGGACGGCGCCCUCGUGCCACAUCCUCAACCGGUGCUGGUGGUGCGGGAACCUGAGCCUCCCUAGCAGCAGCCUGCUGAAGCAACAAGUCCUCCAGUCGCUUCAUCCGUGUCUCCUGUCGGUGCCCCACAUCGGCCUGCCGCUGCCCCGUCGCUGCCUGCUGAGCCACUAAAUCAGUGAGGACCGCAAGCUGGGUCCUCAAAUCUCGAACCUCACUAGAUCCGAAGGUAGCGUAGGUCUCCACCUCCUCAAGGUUUGCCGCAUUCUCCGCCCCAACUGAUUUAGAGCAAGUAGUUGGCAUGAUCACUACAAAAGCAUAAAAGCGCAAAUUAGUAAAACCCACGUUAUCGCAACCCCACUCAAAUAGAAUAAGACUCCCAAUCAUGCAAAAGUAAAGAAGUGUCUUUUACUACUAACUCCCGAUGUUACGUUGUUGGCCGCCAACGUAACCCUUCGCGAAGCUAGAAGCUAUACACUUCGAUUAAACUCCAACUUUUUAGAGUUAUCAUAAAACCCAAUCGUGAUACUUUCGCUUACAAGUCAAAUAGACCUCGUCUCUCACGAGCCUAUUUCCUAUAGUCCAAUCGGCCUAAGGUUUGCUAGGUCCACUAAGACUCAACCCUAGGCUGUGAUACCAAAAUAAUCUGUCACGCCCCGGGGCCCAGCGGAAGCCCGCCUGGCGCGUGUCCAGACUCGCCAUAUGCCUACAACAUAUAAGGCGUCUACAACAAUAGUAUAUGAAAAUAAGAAAGAUGAAGCAUCUAAUAGGAUAUCAGAGCAUAAAGACAUCUAUAUUCUAGCAACAAGUAGAAUGAAAAGGGCUAAACAACUAGCAUAAAUUAUAAAAUAACCAUACAACUGAGAUCCAUGAACAUAACGCUAAAUACAAAAAUAAUGGUCUCUAUACAUAGGGUACAAAAAAUCUCUCUCUCUUUCCAACUAGAACCAAAAGAGAGAUGACCACCUAGAGCAAUAAUCCUCGCUGUCUAGCUAAACGCGACCCCUUUGCCGCGGUCCCUAGGCUCUCCCGGUGCGGGUGGUUCUGAAAUAAAAACAUCAACAUAGAGGGCAUGAGAACUAUUAAUCAAUAGUUCCCAGUGGGUAAGCCGCCGACCUCAGCGAAAUACACCACUAGGUUAUAGAGGCAAGUAGUAAAAGUAAAUUGCAAUAAACAACAUAAAUAGUCAACAACUAUAACUUGCUAAGCUACUAUGCCUCAAAUAAGCAUGAUGUUCUUCAAGUAACAUUACUACUCUAUCAUGAUGAGUAUGUCGAACACAUGUCUACUAGAAUGCACUAGGCAUGUCCAAUAUGUCCGAUAGUAUGCACUAAGCAUGUCACUAUAUGCACCAAGCAUGUCACUAUAUGUACCAAGCAUGUCCGAGGAAUCCAACUACUAUAUACUAUCUAGUAGUGAUUGUCACAUUAACGGUUUACAUAUCAUUUUCCAAAUCCAAUUUAGGACUUACACGAGUGUAGUCUGGCUUGUGCCGCCUAAUGGCCUCGGGUAGUCCAGCAUUUUUUCGUAGGAAUGUGACUGUUCCACGGCGACCCAGUAGAGAACCCAAUACCGCACGGCGAGCAUAUGUCGUAUAGGCCAACUCCGGAGUGCCGGCUUGUGGGGAACGACCCUCACAAGCAUGUGCGAAUGAGCACAUAUGGCAAGCAAGCAUAAUCAUUAUCUCGAGUAUCCGGUCAUCAUGUCUCAAAUAUGGUAUAAAUACUAGCAACCCAAAGAUCUAGUUCUAUGUCAUAAUAUAAAGGUUUAACCGUUUACUAAGUCUAAUGCCAUUUUAUGACAUUAUGUUUUACUAUGUCAAUAUAUAUUCCAAGUCCAAUGUCAUUUUAUGACAUUAUGUUCACUAUGUCCAUAUAUGAGUUUUAAGUCCAAGAGCAUGUUAUACUUAUCAUUUUCACUAAAUGAAACAUGAUUUCAAGCCAUAUAAAAGAAUGCCACUCACUUGCAUGGUUACUAUGUACAUAUCUCUCUACUACAUAGAGGUAAAAUUUUAUGAUACAUAAUGUAUGCAUUUUAAGCAUUAUAAAAUUUCCAUAUGCUCUAUCUAGCAUGAAUAUGCAUGAUUUUUUAUUUUACAAUAAAGAAUAUAAUAUAGGAGGAGUUCACCCAUUUCGGUGAGGUCAAACCCACCGGAUUUCCUUGCAACCUUUUUAUUUGCGCAAACGAAGGUGCCCACAAGCCUCCUAACCCCCUAGAGAAAAUUCUAAGAGGGUUAAACGAAAUGAACGAACACCACACACGUUCAUCUUUAACUAACCCAACAUUAGGUCAAAACUCACCUUGUAUGGUGUAGAACUCUUCCAAACCUCAAAUGGUGGCUAGAAUCCUUCUAAUCCAAUCUAAAAUGAAGUUCUACACCUAUCAAUUAAGCCCCAAAAGCUACAAAUCAAAAACCCCCAAAUAAAACCCUAGAUUCUCAUUUCUAGGUUUUCAUCACUAAAAAUCCAACAAAACAUGAUCUAAAGGGAAGAUCAAAGCUACUGACCUCUCUUGAAUCCCCAAACCAAGUUAGGAGUGAGCUAGGGUUAGAAAUCUUUCCUCAAGAAAGCUCCACUCUCUAAUCCAAGGCUUCUCCAAUGGUGAAAAUCCAACAUGAAGCAAAGAGAAGAGGAAAAGAGAGAUCAAUCCAAGCAAAAACCUCAAGAAAAGAGAGAAAUCCAAGGGAGGGGUUCUCUACCUAUGCUCUCCACGGUUUAGGGCUCAAAAGAGCUCUCUAAGGCUAUGGGGUGUUAAAUAGAGUAGCUACAAUAGCAAAGACACCCCUCCAAAACAAGCAGUCUGCGGACUGCCCUGCGUACCGGUGACACCGGAAGAGUACCGGUACCAAGCUGCUGAGCUCGCCAAACCCGAGCCUCGGUCAAGCAGGAAAACACACUGCGUACCGAUACCCGCGCGAUGCAGUACCGGUACCAGGUCUAGUACCGGUACUCGAGCAAUGCAGUACCGGUAGUCUGCAUCGCAGAGCUCAAACCCGAGAGCUCCCCUCUCGAUUAUGCGACGCCGUUCCGGUACCCGUUCUCUGGUACCGAUACCAGCACCCCAAAACCUACAGUUUGAAGGUUUUGGUGCUAAGUACUCAUUUUUGCUCUUUAAGACGCGAGUAAUGGGUUGGAUCAUCGUCAACGACCCUCCAGAAAAUCUGAAAAAACUUAGAAUACUAAUCAAACACUCGAACCUUACAAUUUGCUAAAAUUCAGUGUGUUACACGAACGAACUAGAAAUAUACCUUUGCAUAAAACUUAUCAAAGAAAAAUAAUUUCUGACUGAGGAUAUAUAUUAAAUUUUGUGACCUUUUGAUCGUAAGAUAAAUGAUGUGAAAAAAUUAUAAAAUUUGAUUUCUAGAAGUUUUAAAUGCUCUAGAUAACGUUUAACGAUAUGGAUCGUUGAUUCAGAAGCUCUAUCAUCGAAAACGACUUAUAAGUACGAGGGCGAUCGUAUAUAGUAGCUGGACUCUCUCUCUCUCUCUCUCUCUCUCUCUCUCUCUCUCUCUCUUUCUAUAUAUAUAUAUAUAUAUAUAUAUAUAAUUGAGCUUCUAUANAAUAGUACCAACCCCUUGGUACUAUUAAGUUUUCGGCCGUUGGAUAAAAGGAUGUGCGGUUAGGAUGAUAGUGGUCCCCGGUUAAAUUGAUAGUGGUCCUCUAGGGUUGAGUGGGUGGUUGGUUUAAUAGUAUAAUCUAACGGGUGGAAAUGAUCAAAUGAUAGAUUUAACGGUAGAAAAUUCAAUAGUACCAAGGGCUUGGUACUAUUGAUAGUAUAGUAGCCGGACUAUAUAUAUAUAUAUAUAUAUAUAUAGUUAGGCUCCUGCACUUUCGAAAGCAUGGAGGCCUCCGUUUUUGUAAGUUAUUUUUGAUGAUAGGACAUCCGAUUCGAUAAUCGGCUCCGUCAGAUAUGAUCCACGAUAUUAGAACUAGUUUGAAGUCAAAUUUUAUAAUUUUUUUUAUUUCAUUUGCCUAAUGAAUGAGUAACCUCAAAAUGAACGGCUGAAAAUAAAAAUUUCAUAAAAAUAGUAAUAAAUGUUCAAAUUUCAAAUCGGAAGUGUUGAUUUUGCUCUUGAUGUUAAGUAAAAUUUGCUAUUAAAAUUUUAUAUAAUUUGGAUUCUUGUAUACCAUUGAACUUACAAACGUGCCACAUCAGUCAUUAAAAUAGUCAGUUUUGAGACCCAUUGAUUAUUUGGUAAAUGAUGUUGAAAAAUUACAAAAUUUAGUUUCUAAAUUAUUCUAAUAGAGUAAAUCAUAUUUAACUAAGCCAAUCGUCGAAUUAGAUGUCUCAUCAUCAAAACCAACUUAUAAGUAUGGAGGCCUUCAUGCUUUGGAAAGCGCCAGAGACGUACUGUAACGCCCCCAAUAGUCCCACAUCGGAUGGGAUACUGAUUCCGAUAAAUUUAUAUGAGGCCUACACGCUAGUAAUAAUAACUGAGCUUAAGCAUUUUGGGCGGGUGGUUUGGACCCAACGAGUUAUUGUUGCUACCAGGUCGGGUCGUUACAAUUGAUUGGAAUCAGUAUCCCAUCCGAUGUGGGACUAUUAGGAGCGUUACACGUACUCUCUCUCUCUCUCUCUCUCUCUCUCUCUCCUUCUCGGUCUACUACUAAAUAGCUACCUAUAUAGUACGGUGAUAUCUAUACUUAUAUAUAUAAUGCGAGGGCUGCUGUGCUCUCAGAAGCAACGGAGGCCUCCGGGUGCACUGAGCCCGUUUUCGACUGAUGGGAGUUUUCGAGAUUGAGACUGGCUCCGUUUAAACUUGACUCAUAUUUGAAGUUUCUAGAAAACUUUUAAUUUUUUGUGAUUUUCGAUACAUUUACUAGCAAUCGAUAAGGGAUUCAAAUCAAUAUAUUUAAACGGCUGAAAAUAAAAAUUCCUUACGUUAAAAAGUGGUGGAUGAUAGCAGUAAAAUUUUCGAUCGAGAAAUCAUUGAUCUUGUGUGUAGAUAGUAUACAAGGAAUUUUGUAUCAAGAAUUUCAGUCUGAUUUGAAUACUCUCUACACGUAACUUGAAACGACAUUAUAACCAACAUUUACAAAGAGUUAUGGAUUCUUGAAUCUUUCGAUCACUAGAGUAAAUGAUAUAAAACAGAAUCGCAAAAAUUAUUUUUCUAGGAACUUUAAAUGUGCCUAGAUCAAAGUCUAACGGAGGGCCGAUCGUCGAUUCGAAACAGUUCUCUCAUCGAGAAACACUCAGGAGGCACGGAGGGCUCCGUGUCAUGAUUUAUUUUCUUGGGUGUUUGAAAACAGAGAUGAAUGUUUAUUUUUUAUUCUUUCCUUUGGUGGUAAUUUGAUCACUAAGCUUCUGCGUAGAUUUUGAAAUUUUAUGUUCAAGUGAGGGCCAUAGCGUAUUUUGUGGGUGCAUUUUUUUCUUUGGAGAGACUGCAAUAAUCGCAUUAUCAUUUCAAACAACCGAUGCGUGGAUAACGCGAUGUGGCAAUCGAAUGUAGGCUAUGUAAUCAUCCCUUGGUAUUAUUUUUCUGGAAUUAUAUUGACCAGUGUCAUCUCUAUAAUUUUUUUUUUGCCUUCUUAAAAAUACUUGGCUGUUGAACUUACUUAUCAAGCUCUUUUUUUCAAUUAUAAAUAUUAUUGCAAAAUAGAGGAUAUGAUUGAAAGUGAAAAUUUAAAAGGGUGUAAUCAAUGCAAUGAAACUAGGUUUAGUAAACCUACAUUGAACCUCGAACGAUGAAAUUCUAAUUAAGUUGUCUUCUCUCUUAUUUCAAAUAAUAAUUUGAAUUCUAAAUUUUGCUUAAGAGUCAAUAAUUUCAUGGCUGUGAUAUUAAUUUUUUUUUUUUUUUUUGAGAAAAAGAUAGCACGCUACCCGCUUAAAUCAUUGGAACAAUAAAUUAAGCUACAUGGUGACAUCAUUUGUUAGUUAUGUUAGUUAAGGUGCAUAUCUUUCCUAACAUAUCCUCAAAAAUAGCAACAUAUAUAUAUAUUUUAUGGUCCCAUAUCAUGCAACAGCUUCAAUCCCAAGGAGAAAUAUAAUCAAAUCCAAUGGGGCCCCACUCCAUCAUUAAUUACUCACAUUAAAACAGAUGCCACUUUUCAAUUAAAAGGUAGGUUUUUUGAAUUUUUCUUUUUAAGAAAGAGAAAUCCACAUGUCCAAUUUUGCUAGGAGCUGAUCGGAUAAUUCAAAAUCGUUUAAAUCCAGCUAGUGAACCAACUAUUUCUAACGCAAGUGAUAAAUAAUUUGGUGGUCGGUCCUCGAGAUUUCAAAUUCGAUCGAUAUCUAAUUAUUUUUUAUUUUCAUCUAAGUUUAUUUUUUAAAAAAAAUAAACAAAGCAGAUAGCAUUCUACUUUUCUCUUAAAAAAAAAAAAAAAAAAUCCAGCUAGUGGAUAGUGACUAAGCUUGGUAAACCUGUCAGUUAAUAACAAAUCAUCUUUACUAGUAUUACCGUCACUUAUUUUACCCUCAAGGUCUAUUUAUUUUAGUGUAUAUUCCAGCUAUCUCAUUAAUAUAUAUUAGUCUUUAUAAAUAGAGUAUAGCUACUAUACUUAUACUUUCAAAAGUAUAGAAAGGUGGUGCUUCCAAUUUUUUGAUUCUUGGAUUAGUUUUUUUGACUAUUUCUAAUAUUUAGAAUAAUAUUACUAUCCUAAGGGGAACCACUCAAUCCUAAAAGGGACCAAUAUCAUCCGGAUCUUAUAAUUCUUGAUCCAAGAGCCAAAAAGUUGGAAGCACCAACUUUUUUAUAAUUCUAAAAUCAUAAUAGCUCUAUACUUAUAACUAAAGGGAUUAUAGUAAAUUUAUGAUAUAUCUAAGUUAAUUUUUUUUUAAAAAAAAAUCAAACAUAUAUAAGAAUAAUAUAAUAUUUCGACGUAUUCUACGAGACGAAAGAACUAGAAAUAUACCUUUGCAUGCUGAGGAUAUAUAUUAAAUUUUGUGGACCAAACACACCUAAAAGGAAACAGUUAGAUGGCAGGGGGAGAGAAAUCACUUGGAGCCACAUUUGAGAGACCAAGAAGUAGAUGAAAUUAAUGCAUGGAUAUUGAACGCACACAUCAUGGAGAUAACAAAAGAUCACGAGAGUUGAGAGAGAGAGAGAGAGAGAGAGAGAGAGAGAGAGAGAGAGAGAGGUGUGGAGGCAAAAUGCAUGUGAAGGGAUCUUGGAUUCAUGUGGGGAGGCACACCCUACACUCCAUUCAUAUUGACCCUCCAGUUGCUGAGCAAACGCUAAAGCUAAGCGUAGCCUAAAUCCCAAUUGCCAUAUAAUGCCAAGUANAAAAAUCGCAAAAAUUAUUUUCUAGGAACUUUAAAUGUGCUAGAUCAAGUCUAACGGAGCCGAUCGUCGAUUCGAAAAUUCUAUCAUCGAAAACGACUCAGGAGCACGGAGAGGCCUCCGUGCUAUGAUUUAUUUUCUUGGGUUUUGAAAACAGAGAUGAAUUUUUAUUUUUUAUUUUUCCUUUUGUGUAAUUUGAUCACUAAGCUUCUGCUACAUUUAAAUUUUUAUUUCAAGUAGGCCAAUAGCUUUUUGUGGGUCAUUUUUUUCUUUGGAAAAUGAAUAUCGCAUCAUCCAUUUCAAAACCGAUGCGAUAGCGAUGUGGCAAUCGAAUUAGCUAUGUAUCAUGCCCUUGUAAUUAUUUUUCUGGAUUAAUUAUGACCAUGUCAUCAUUAUAUUGCCUCUUAAAAAUAACUUGGCUGUUGAAUUACUUAUCAAGCUCUUUUUUCAAUUAUAAAUAUUAUUGCAAAAUUAAGGGAUAUGAUUAAAGUAAAAAUUUAAAAGCGAGUGUAUCAAUUGCAAUAAACUAAGGUUUAGUAAACCUACAUUGAACUCGACGAUAAAUUUAAUUAAUUGAUCUUUCUCUUAUUUCAAAUAAUAAUUUAAUUUAAGUUUUGCUUAAGAUGUCAUAAUUUCAUGGUGAUAUUAUUUUUUUUUUUUUUUUUCCGCUGAAAAUAAAAUCUAUAAAAAGUGGUGAUAUAGCACUAAAAUUUCGAUCAGAAAUAUUGAUCUUGUUGUAAAUAGUGACAAAGAAUUCUAAAUAUGAAAAUUUUAUGCUGAUUAAUACUUCUACACCACGUUAAACUUGAAACGCAGAUAUCAACGCAUGAAAAUUAUGAUUUUGAAUCUUUCGAGAUCCACUGAUAAUGAUAUAAAAAAAUUGUAAAAAUUAUUGCUAGAAACUUAAGCGUCCGUGCUCCAAAGCCGUUUUCGAUGAUGGAGCUUCCGAAUCGACGAUCGGCUCCAUUAGACUUAAUCUAGCCUAUUUGGACUAUCUAGAAAAUAAAUUUUGUGAUUUUUCGAUAUCAUUUACCUAGCGAUCGAAAGAGUUCAAAAUCAAUAAUUUUUAAUAGUUAAUGUAUAUUGUUUGCAAGUUUAACAGUGUAGAACUAUUCAAAUUAGAAAAAAAUUUGAUAGAAAAUUCUUUAUACUAUUUGCAGCAAGAUUAAUAUCUCUGAUCGAAAAUUUUAAUGCUAUAUUAUAACUUUUUGUAAGAUUUUUAUUUUCAGCUGUUGAUUUUAAACCCUUUCGAUCGCUAGGUAAUUAAAUGAUAUCGAAAAAUCAUAAAAUUUAUUUUCUAAAUACUUUAAAUACACUAGAUCAAAUCUAACGGAGCUAAUUGGAAAGUUUUAUCAUCGAAACGGCUUAGGAGCACGAAGGCCUCCGUACGCUUAAUAGCACACAAGACCUUCUCUCUCUCUCUCUCUCUCUCUCUCUCUCUCUCUCUCUCUCUCUCUCUAUAUAUAUAUAUAUUAUAUAUAGAGAGAGAGAGAGAGAGAGAGCUAGUCUCCUAUACUAUCUAUAGUACCGGAGCUCCGGUACUAUAGUCCCCUUUUCGAUAUUAGGGUGUUCAAAUCAACGAUCCACACCGUUAAAACUGAUCUAGCGUAUUUAAAGUUUUUAGAAAUAUAAUUUUAUACUUUUUCGACAAAAUUUACUUUAUGAUUAAACCAUUUCAAAAUUGUCAAUUUUCAAAGGCUAUUAUGGCGAGUUUGGAGUUUAACGGUGUAGAAGAAUCUAAAUUUCUUCAAAUUUUGAUAGAAAAUACUUUAAACUAUCUAGAUUAAGGUUAACAUUCUUGAUCUUGGAUUUAAAAGUCCUAUACUUAAAUUUUAAAGAUUAUUCAAUUUCCACCGUCCAUUUUGACAUAAUUUAUUUACUAAGUAAACGAUGUCGAAAAAAACUAAAAUUUUAUUUCUAAAAACUUCAUAUACCCUAGAUCACAUUUAACAGUGUGGAUCGUUAAUUUGAACACCCUAAGAUCGAAAAUAAAACUAUAGUACCAAAGCUUCGGUAUUAUAGAUAGUACUAAUUAUAUAUAUAUAUAUAUGUGUGUGUGUGUAUGUAUGUAUGUAUGUAUAUGCACAUGCAUAUAUGAAUAUAUACAACAAUAACAACUCUCUCACUCUCUUAUCCCUACUUCCUUAUAUAUAUCCUAACUCAUCUAUUUCUACUUCUCUUGCAAGGGAGAUGGAAGAUAGCCUCUUUACUCCCCCACCUCCUUCAUUGAUGCACCAGUAUCAUGACAGCCACCACGACCGUGAGUACGCGAAUCGCGACACCUACCGAGGAUUGUUCGCCUCCAACUUGGUGCUUCUGAUCGUACUGCCAUUACUCGUGCUCGCCUCGCUCGCCGUCAUCGCCUUCGUAGUCCUGCGAGUUUGUCGCAGGGGGAGUAAGCCUGAGAAUAUCAGCAGUAACAACAUCAGCAGCUACAACAGCAGCUUCCGAAAGCCCAGUUUCGGCACGAACCCGCUGUCGAAGUGUGGCAGUGAUCUGGACGCCAAAGUAUUCAUCAACAGCCCUGGUAAAAUCCGGUAUUCUUUGUUCCGUUGAUUCAUAAUUUAAGCUUACUUGGCAAUCCAUGCACAUAAAUAUUGAUGAUCUUUCUUUCUUUUAUUUUUCCCCUUUUUCCUAAGAUGUUGGUAGCUGUAUAUAUGGUGGUAAGUUGGGGUUUACUGCGAUGCAAGUUCGGAAUAACAAGAGACUGGGGCAAGUGUUCACCUACAAGGAGCUUGAGGCGGCCACUGAUGGGUUCAGUGAGAGCAAUGUGAUUGGUAAUGGGGGGUUCGGCGUCGUGUUUCGAGGCCGGUUGAGCGACGGCACCGUCGCGGCCAUCAAGAAGCUGCACAAGGAAGGGAAGCAAGGGGAGAGAGAGUUCCGGACAGAGGUAGUGACAGUACUAGUGUUCCUGAUCACCAAUUUUAGUUUUUUUUUUGAGAGAUAGGUAGCACGCUACCCGCUUUGCUUAUUUUAUUUAGAAAUAAACUUAGCUGGAAAUAUGAAUCAACUAGGAUUCGAACUUGGGUCUCGUGUACCAACCACCAAGCCCUUUGCCACUUGCUCCAGGGACGAUUGGUUCACCAAUUUUAGUUUUAGUUGGCAAAAAUGUAUGGAGAUCCAUCCAUCAACUGCAGGCCAUUUUGAAAUUUUGAAAUAGACCCCCUGCCCCCCUCAAAUAAGUCUCUUUCAAUUCAGAUCUUCUAAACUUUUGAUUAUUAUGAUUUGAGUUAUGAUGCUAUCAGUUGUUUAAAUAUAAUAAACGAGAUUUGCCGUUCGAUCAGGCAAAAUAGUGUUCAGAAAAUAUUAAUUCUAAUUUUAACGGAAUCGUCAUUAAAUUUUAACAAAAAUUUCCAAUUUAAUCAAAAGAAAAAUAGUUGAUGGGUCUAUUUUCACAAUGUACCAUUGCUCCUAUUAGUUUAUAUAUUUCUUGGCUUUAGUGGGCACUUGUUUAGUCUCUCUGUUCUUGUGGAACAAAUAAUCACAAUCAAACAUGCGCACCAAUUUUUUUAAUUAUGCUUUAGCCAUAAAAAAAGUUGAGAGAAUCAAAAACUAGGAUAUCAAUUUUUUUCCCUUUUUUUUUUUUUUUUGUUUGUUUGUUUGUUUGUUUCACCUAUUGUGUGAAAAUUAAUGAACUGCUAUUUAUCAGUUUCACAUCCGACUAUUUUCAGAUGCUUACAAAACCAACCACCACUAAUUGCUGUCACAUGCACAUCAAUGUGUCACCAAUCUUUCCUAAAUUUUAGAAUGCAAACAAGGUAGCAUUUACUCUUUCCUCAUAAGUGUGAUAGCAUGUAAAUAUAUUAGAAAGUAAUGUGAGGAAAAGAAUCAUAUAUGUUGAUAUCAAAAAGAUUUAUAUAUAUUUUGUUCAUCCAUAAUGCUUCAGUCUAACAUUUUGUUUCUUUUGUUUUUGUUAUAAUGAAUUGCAAUCCAAAAAAUGGGAAUGAUUUCUCUCGUUCUCGUGUAAUUGUAGGUCGAUCUUUUAAGCCGAUUGAACUCUCAUCACUUGGUAGGAUUAGUAGGCUACUGCGCGGAUCAAAACCACCGUCUGCUCGUGUUUGAGUUCAUGAGCAACGGAAGCCUGCAACAACAUCUGCACACCAGCUCAAAGGAGCAAAACUACCGACCGCUCGACUGGCGAACCAGGCUGCGAAUAGCAUUAGAUUGCGCUCGAGGACUCGAAUUCCUACAUGAGCAAACGGCCCCCGCAGUUAUCCAUAGGGACUUCAAAUGCAGUAAUAUCUUGUUAGACCAUAACUACCGAGCCAAAAUCUCCGAUUUCGGUAUGGCCAAGAUUGGGUCAGAUAAACUCAAUGGCCAAGUCCUCACAAGGGUACUUGGGACUACCGGAUAUCUCGCGCCAGAGUAAGAUCUGCGUACCGAUCGAUUGCUUCAUCUUUUACACAAAUAUAUAUAUGUUACCUUUUGAUAAAGUAUGGGGGGUGUGCGCGCGCGCGUGUAUAUAGGUAUGCAUCGACGGGGAGAUUGACGACAAAGUCAGAUGUUUAUAGCUACGGAGUGGUGCUUCUCGAGCUGCUGACCGGUCGGUCACCGGUUGAGACAAGGCGGCCUCCAGGGGAACAUGUUCUAGUCUCAUGGGUUUGUAACUUUUACUUGCUCUAUUUUCACUUGUGAAUAAAAAAAACUAUCAAUAAUUAAGUAAAUCUCAAAACUAUGGUAAACUUAUAAAUAUCUUAGUUCAUGAAAAGAAUCUUACUUCUAUGCUGUAUCUGAGAAUAAUUUUAUCUCAGCCUUGUUGUUGGUAAAGCAAGGUUUAUUUUCUCGUCUAAUAACCUUCAUGUCGACUCACUAACCGCGAUAUAUUAGGCCCUUCCGCGACUUACUAACCGUGGGAAAGUUGUGGAAAUGGUGGAUCCUACACUGAAAGGCCAAUUCUCGACGAAAGAUCUAAUUCAGGUUUGUUAAAGGAUUAUUAGGUGCAUUUCGAUCCUACACUUUGUGAUUAAGUUAAAGGAUUAUCGCGAUAAGAUUCGAUGACAUUUUUCGUCAUUUGUUGCGAUAGGUUGCGGCAAUCGCUGCUGUGUGUGUGCAGUCAGAAGCUGACUACCGACCGCUUAUGACCGAUGUCGUCCAGUCUCUAAUCCCUUUGGUUAAGAACAAGGGCGCAUUUUCUUGCCCUACGACUCCUCCCAAGUUUCCGCAGAAUAUGUUAGAGCCAUGAGGUAUGCAAGAAUUGCGCGAAAGAGUGUUGGAAAAAGUUUCUCGCAGAUCGGAGUGCAGGAAACAGGAGUGGUUUUUAUUCAGAGGAACAAUCUAUCUACUUCAAUUUUUUUUUCUUUUUUCUUUUUUUCUUUUUUUCCCUGUGUAAAGCAACUUAUCUUUGUAAUAUGCUAUAUGGGAGGGUGUUGUACAUUGAAUUGAAUGGGCCCUAAUAUGAUGACACCACAUCAUUUGUAGGAACAAUAAAUGUCAAUUAUGUUUGCUACUGGUAAAGUAAAUGCCAUGUGGUCAAGAAAUGGGAUAAAUUUUCUUAUUAUCAUUGUACAUUUAAUCUUCUUUAACAUUAAACAGAAAUUGGAUCAGAACUCAGAAAGGUUCAGUCAGUGAAUGAAAUUCUCCAAUCUCAGUGCUUUCUUUGGGUUGUUUGGAACAUUUGAGUAACAUGAUUUUUCUUUCCCUUUCUUUGCCUUUCGGAACAUUAAUUAGUAUGAUUUCAUACUAUUUCAUACUAUUUUAACUGGUGGUAUAUUAAGAAAAUUAAACAUCUAUACACUCUUGUUAAUCCCUAUAAUUUUGUCCACAUGGCGGGAUUAUCUUAACUAUUGACUGUAGAGCACACCUCCUCUAUUACUCAUAUCUUUUCCUUUAAUCUGCCCUCUUUUAAAGAUCAUAUCAUUUUUCCUUCUGUUCUUUCAGUAGAAAAGAAUUAUCAGAGACUUUGUCGUUUGCAAUUUCGUUUCUUCGGUUUCCUUGCUCCUCUUUUAAAUUCCUCAUAAAAUGAAACUUGAAAUCCCACUUCUUUUUUAUAUUGCAACGAUUUCUCAUCUCUUUUGAAAUAAUAAAUUAGACUGAAAUUCAAUUCUGCUCAACAUAUAUUCCAGAUAGAAAUGUUCAAUUCUGAUUGAAUAGAAUUAAAUUCUUCUGAAGUGAAAUCAAUUAUAUUCCAUGUAUAUUUUAACUCCAAGCAAGAGUACAAAGGGAUCAAAAAGAUUGUGACUUAACUUUUAUAUAUAUAUAUAUAUAUAUAUAGAGAGAGAGAGAGAGAGAGAGAGAGAGAGUAUGCGAGGCUACUAUGCUUUUGGAAGUACGGAGCCUUUCAGGUCGUUUUCGAUGUUGCGACUUUUGAAUCGUCGAUCGGCUCCGUUAAACUUGAUCUAAAGUAUUUGAAAUACUUAGAAAAUAAAUUAUGCGAUUUUUCGAUAUUAUUUGCCUAGUGAACAGGGACUCAAAAUCAACGACUGAAAAUAAAAAUCUUACAAAACAUAAUAAUAUGACAUUAAAAUGUUAGAUCAAAGANUGAUGUCAAAAAAUUAUAAAAUUUGGUUUCUAGAUAGUUCCAAUAGGGUAGAUUAUACCUAACGGAGCCGAUCGUCAAAUCGAAUGUCCUAUCAUCGAAAACAACUUACAAACACGGAGGUCCUGGUACUUUCGAAAGUAUAGUAGAGGCACUCUAUAUAUAUAUAUAUAUAUAUAUAUAUAUAUAUAUAGAGUUGAGCUAGAAUACUCUCAAAAGCACCAAGAGGUUGGUGCUUUUGAAUUUUUAACCCUUGGAUGGAGAGAUGUGAGAUUGAGAUGAUGGUGGUAGGUAGUGGUAGGUAGAAUAGCAUUUGAUCCAAGGGUUAUUAGUAAUCUAGGAGUAGAUCUAAUGGCUAAAAACUUAAUAGCACCAAGGGGAUGAUACUUCUAAAAAUAUUCUAGCUAUAUGUAUAUAUACUUUGAUCUUCUUAGUGCAUACGAAAGGGGUUAUAAAAAAAAAUUUUAAAAAAAAAAAAGUACUUUUUAACUCAGCUAAAGAUCCUUAAUAAUAAAGUGAAUAUUGUAGAAGAAUUGUAACUUUGGAUUUUUUGGGUGGAAGAAGCUCCAAGAACAGAAUUAUUACUAUUCACAAUAUAAUACAGCCUCGGUUAGUCUACAAAGGAAAUAAUCAAGAGACACAAUGGUAAUUUAGUUUCCUAUUCUAUAGCAGAGUUAUAAGAAAAUAUGCUAAUAGCUUCCUUUAUGUUAUAGCUCUAAUUAUAGACAUCUAUGCUGGUCUAAUGAAGGAGAGCAAGUCUUGGAGUUAAUUGAUCCUGGAGAGUGAUUGUCGCCUAUACGCCCCCGCAAGAUAGGUGUACCGUUGUGAACACCUAUCUUGGAAUGAAGAAGAGAAAAUUGCUGUCGUGCGAGAGGUUUUGUUAGCACGUAAGCAAGUUGCUCAUGAGUCGAUACAUGAGAUACAUUUAACGGUCCUAUGCUUACUUUAUCGCAAACGAAGUGGUAGCUAAUAGCUAUAUAUUUCAUCUUGCAGUGAAAGACCGGAUUAGCACAUACAUAUGUUGCACCAAUAUUGUCACAGUAAAUGGUCGGACUUUGGGAUAGUGAUACACCUAGCUCAUGCAGAAGCGACUGAAUCCAAGCCAACUCAAAUGCCGUAUCCGCAAUGGCACGAUAUUCAGCCUUAGUAGAAGAGCGGGCGACAAAUCAUUGCUUUCAUGAGCUCCAUGAAAUACGAUUAGUGCCAAGGAAUACAAUGUACGCAGAGGUGGAUGUACGAUCAUCUUUAUCAUCAGCCCAGUCAGCAUUAGAGAAAGCGUGUAGUAGUAAAUUAGAGUAGCACUUCAAGUGCAGUCCAUAAUUGAUAGUGCCGUUGAGAUAUCGAAGAAUUCGUUUGACUGCAAUCCACUGAAGCGCCGACAGUUGAUGCAUGAAUUGAGAUAAUUUGUUUACGGUAAAAGCUAUGUCCGGCCUUGUGAUAGAGAGAUAUUGAAGAGCACCAACAACUUUCCGAUACUGAGUAGCAUUUGUUGGAGGAAAGCCAUCAUGACGAGAUAGCGAGCAACUAGUCAGCAAUGGAUUAACAACAUCUUUCGCACCAAGCAUUUUAGUUCCAUCAAGGAUAUCACUUAUGUAUUUAUGUUGCGUGAGAAAUAAGUCCUGCAUUGUUGGUAUAACUUCAACCCCUAGGAAGUAAUGAAGAUCACCAAGAUCAUUAAGAGAAAACCUGCCAGAAAGAGCUUGGACAAAACUAUGUAGAAAUGAUUUAUCAUUUUCUAUAAGUAUUAGGUCAUCAACAUUAAACUCUAUACUAAAGUUGAAACCAAAUGCCGUUUCUCCAUCAAGCCACGUGGCCUUUUUUUUAUAUGGAUUUUCUCUCUCUCCCUCAUAUGCUCUCCCUCCCUCACAUGGACUCACAUGGGUUAUGUUAAAUGGGCACGUACUAUGCAAAAUUUUGUUUCAUGCACCUUCUGUAUCAUGUUAAACAAUAAUGAUUUUAAAGGCAAGCGGCUAUGUUAAAGGGGCAUAUACUAUGGAACAUUUUGUUCCAUGCACUCUAUAUCAUGUUAAACAAUAAUGAUUUUAAAGACAAGCUCAAUUAAAAUUAACCAGAAAAACGUCAUCUUAAUUUUACAGUUCUAAACCUUUUCUUUGUCGCCGAAAGGUCUACCAACUAAAAUCUUUAUCAGAUUGCUACUAUUUUUCGCCCUCACUUUUGGAGUGUCAAAAUGACACGAAGCGCUCGCCCCCGCCUGCGCCUCCGCGCUCGCAGCGUGGCGCGGGCAGGUGGGCGCGCGGGGCGGGGCGCCGCGUGGCAUCGUAUUUGAUAAUAUAUAUUAUAUAUUUAGUUAUCUUACAUAAUAUGAAUAUUAUAUAUAUCUGUAUGUUUCGUGAUAAAUAAAUAUAAUAAAAGUCAUAUUAUUAGCUCUCAAUGUUACGACCUCCCGCCGCAAAGCGCGGGUCAUUACACUAGUAUACAAGAAAGUAGGCCACUAGUAUUCCAUCAUGUCGAUAGAUGAAAAGAGAACAAUCAGAUUUUGAUUAAGUGAACCCAUAUUCAGUGAGAAAACUACUAAGUGCGUGAUACCAAGCCUGAGGGGCAUGUUUGAGACCAUAAAUUGCUUUCUUAAGUCGAUAGACAUGAGUAGGUGAGGAGCGAUCAACAAAUCCUGGCGAUUGUUGCAUAUAAACAACUUCAGUGAGAGAUCCAUGUAAGAAGCCAUUGUUCACAUCCAGCUGAUGAAGAGAUCAUCUUUGAGUUAAAGCAAGGCAAAGAAUAGUUCGUAUGAUGGUAGUAUGUUUAACGACCGGGCUAAACGUCUCAUGAUAGUCUGGUCCAGGUCUCUGAUGGAAGCCUUUGGCGAUGAGUCAUGCUUUAUAGCGUGCAACACUACAAUUGGGAUGCCUUUUGAUACGAAAUACCCAUUUGCAACCAACAACAUUGUAAUGAGGUUGAGGAGCAACCAACUCCUAAGUGCCAUUACGAAGAAAGGCAGUAAAUUCUUCAGGCAUAGCAGUUCGCAAGUUUGGAUCUUGGAUAGCUUGAGAUACACAGUGUAACGACUUAGCCCACUAGCAAUAAUAACUCGUUGGGCCGGUUGGGCCCAAAAUGUUUAAGCUCAGUUAUUAUUACUAGUAUGGGAUUAUUGGAGUGUGACAAACUCUCCCCGUUAAGACCCUGACGUCCUCGUCAGUCCAAUCACACACACAGCCCAAGAUUACCAGGCAAUGUGAGACUCGUCUCGCUAGUCUUGUCAUCCAGACCCUGGCAUAGUCGGUCGUCUUGUCAUUCAGACUCCGACAUAGCCUAUCACCUUGUCUUUCAGACUCUGGCUCAGCCGAAACUUGUCAUACAUUUCCGAUUGAUGAACUAGCUCUGAUACCAAAUGUAACGACCCAGCCUACUAGCAAUAAUAAUUCGUUGGGCCCAACCAUUGGCCCAAAAUACUUAAGCCUAGUUAUUAUUACUAGUGUCUAAGUCUCUUAUAUACCCAAUCACAACCCCAUUCAUAUCCGAUGUAGAAUUAUUGGGGUGUGACACACAGGUUGGUUCCAUAAUAGUGGGAAUAGGAUGCUUCUAUGUAGUAUGGAGCUGUUUAGGCUUAAAAAUAUUAUUUUGGGAUCUAGUGGUCAUAGGAUGUGUGCGUUGGAAGGGGAAGUGACAACAAUAGGUGCCGCAGUUUCAAUCAAUCAACAGCUUUGUGAGGUACAUCCAAAAUUGCAGGCAAGCUACUGUUACUUCCAAGUAAUUAACUAGCGCCUCACUUUGGUACUGCUCCCUUUUUCUUGUUUCUUAAACUCAAAUUCUAUGUGAUUAAAUGAAACACCAGAUGAGAACAUACACACCUGGGAUUGUGUUUGGAAAUAAAGGAACAAGAUACUACUAUAUAGCAACUUUUUAUUUUCUCCUUUGCGUUAUGUAGGAAAAAAACAAAACAAAACAAAACAAAACAAAACAAACAAACAAACACCACUCUGCAUAUUGCCGGGGCAAGUUGAAAUCUAACUGAUAAUAGCAAGGAUGGAGAAAUCUGUCCACUGGUGCAUUCAAUCACUAUAGAAUUUUGAGUUUGGAAAAAGAAUAAAAUAAAGGAACGAAGGGGUACCAACCGUAUUUUGAGCACUACAACUGCAUUGAUACAUGAGCACUGCAACUACACUGAAACAGCAAGAGAGCACCAUUGUGUUCUACUCUUCAAUAGAGCGGAGGAAAAACAAAACAUUAACUUUCUGGCCAGAUUUCGUUGCACAGCUAACAAAUGAAGCACGUCAUUAGAAAGUGUUUUUCCAAGAUAUUUACUGUAACAAGUUUUCCUUAGAGAAGAAGCUAGCUUCGACUAUCAUAAAUGCUAAAUCUUUUGCAAACAACUUCACAAUUGAACAAUCCAAAUUGAUCUACAAUACUAAGACAAUAUAAUAAAUUAAGAGUCAAAUACUUGGGUGCCUCUAAUCCAAACAUCAAACCAUCACAAAUAUGCAGAGUAGCACCGAUAAAUAAAUAAAUAAACAAAUAACAUAUAUAUAUAGAUAUAUAUAUAUAUAUAUAUAUAGAGAGAGAGAGAGAGAGAGAGAGAGAGACUAAUAACAUCACACACUUGGUGCUACCAACUUUUCCACCAUUAAAUCUAAUAUCUUUCAUCAUUCCUACCCAGUAGAUCAAUAUUGUUCCACCAACUACCAUUAAACCCUAAGAGGAUCACUAUUAUCCCAACCCCACAAUCCUUCAUCCAAGGACUACUAAUUUAAAAGUUAAAAAGCCCAAAUAUUUCUAAAAGAAUUUUAGCUCAAUUCAUAUAGAACUAGUGUAGUAAUCCGUGCGAUGCGACGGACAAAAAAUUAGAAAAAAAUUAAAAAUAUUAAUGAUAUAUCUUUUCAUAAAUUUUUAAAUAAUUUAUAUUUGAUUGAUUAUAAAUUAUUCAAACGUGUAGGGAAUCUGUAUGUAUGAGUCAACCGUUUAAAAAUAAAUGAAGACAUUACAUGUUUGCUAUAUAUACUUUAUCAUCGUAUUUUAUAUCAAUAUUAAUAAUAAAUUAAUACAAAUAUCAGUUAAUUUUUUUUCUAAAAAAAGUCCAGUCCUUAAUGAGAAUUUCUAUAAAAACAAGAGAAAACUUCAAAAAACCCCCUAUGGUUUCGCACGUUUUCAUUUUAGUACCCUGUGGUUAAAAGUGUAUAAAGUUAGUACCCCGUGGUUUUGCACUUUCUCACUUUAGUACCAUGUGGUUUAAAGUGUAUCAAGUUAGUACUCUGUGAUUUUAUUUUUGUAUCAAGUUAGUACCCUAUGGUUUUAUUUUUGUAUCAAGUUAGUAUCGUGGUUUUAUUUUUGUAUCAAGUUAGUAUUCUGUGAUUUUUAAACCACAGGGGUACUAAAGUGAGAAAGUGCGAAACCACAGGGUACUAACUUCAUACACUUUAAACCACAGGGUACUAAAGUGAGAAAGUGCAAAACCACAGGGUACUAAUUUAAUAUACUUUAAACCACAGGGUACUAAAGUGAGAAAGAGUGAAACCACAAGGGGAAUAUUUGAAGUUUUCCCAGAAAACAAAGAGAAGAGAAAAAGAGCAUAGAUUUGACCGAGCUCGGCUCAAGCAAGAAAGAGGACACCGGUUCGGUUCAAGCAAGAAAGAGGACACCGGUUCAGUUCAAGCAAAGAAAAAAAAAAUCUGGUUUGGUUCAAGCAACAAAAGAAGAGAACCUGAGCUAGUUCAAGGUGGAGCUCUUAUUCAACAAUUAUUGGUUCAGUUCAGAUAAAUUAAAAGAGAAAUCCGGUUCAAAGAUAGAAAUAUAUAGAGCAAUUGGUUUGGCUCGACCCGGUUCAACAUGACCCGGUUCAACAUUAUUGGUUCGGUUCAGAUAAUUAAAAAAGAAAUCUAGUUCAAAGAUGGAAAUAUAUAGAAUUAUUGAUUCGGUCUAAUGAAGCAAGUUGAUGCGGUUUGGUUCAAGCACAAAUAGAGAAAAAUUAUAUAAUUAUUUGGAGAACUUGAGCCGGUUCAAGGUCGCACCCAACAACCUAGUUUGGUUCAAACAAAGAAAGAGAAAUUGGUAGAGCCCAUAUUUAAUUUAAUAAAGAAAGAGAAUGAUGCCAUGUGGCAAAGUUUAAGAGAAAUAAUGUAUAGGUAAUUAGGCAUAGAUUAGGAUAUAAUACUAUCAGCUUUUGUGCUACCAAAUAGUUUUCAAUGUUGCAACUUCUAAAUCAACGAUCGACUCCGUUCACUUGAUCUACACUAUUGGAAGUAUCUAAAAACAAAAUUUCAUGAUUUUUCCAACAUCAUUUACCCUAUUGAACAAGUACUCUAAAAAUAAUCGGCUGAAAAUAAAAAUUUCAUAAAAAUAAUGAUAAAAGACUUGAAUUUCAGAUAAGAGGUACUGAUCUUAAUCUAGAUAGUGAAAAGAAUUUUCUAUCAAAAUUUCAUUGAAUUUGCAUUGUCCUAUAGCAUGAAACUAAACGCAUAACAUCUGCUGCUAAAAUUGUCAAUGUUGAGACUUCUGAUCAGUAGUCAAAUGAUACCAAAAAAUAUAAAAUUUGGUUUCUAAAUACUUCUAAUAGCAUAAAUCAAAUCUAUUGGACGCGAUCAUCGAUUCAAAAACCGCACCACUAAAAACAACUCAGUGGCAUGGAGGCCGCCGUGCUACCUAUAGUAUUCAACCCUCAUUUUAUAUAUAUACAUAUAUACAUAUACAUAUACAUACACAUACCCGCACCCGCACACGCGCGUGCGCGCGCGCACACACGAGCACGAUCGUCUUCAUACUAAUAAGCCGUUUUCGAGGAUAAAACUUCCGAAUCGACGAUCUAUUCUGGUAAACAUAAUUUAAAGCAUUUAAAUAUUUUAGAGACCGAAUUUUUUAAUAUUUUUAUAUCAUAUACCUUGCAACCAAAAGGCCUCAAAUUGACAUUUUUAAUGGCUAUUAAGGGGCGUUUCCUAGUUAAUGGUGUAAGAAUUGGCAUCGGCUGAAGUUUUUAAAUAAAAUUCUAUUUACUCUAUAUAUCAAGAUCAAUAACUCUGAUCUCGAAUUUACCCACUUGAUGCACAAGCAAAAAGUUUUCUGAAUUAAAUGAUAUCAUCUACAUAAACAGUCCAAGAUCGUAUUCAUACUCAUAAGCCGUUUUCAAGGAUAAAGCUUCCAAAUCAACGAUCUAUGCUGGUAAACAUAAUUUAGAACAUUCAAACAUUUUAGAGACCGAAUUUUAUAAUUUUUUUAUAUCAUAUACCUUGCGAUCAAAAGGCAUCAAAAUUGACAUUUUUAACGGCUGUUAAGGGGCUUUUCCUAGUUAACAGUGAAAGAAUUGGAAUUGGCUGUUAAGGGGCGAUUUAAAUUUAGAUAACAUAACAUAACUUCUGCUAGUCAUGAAGUGUUGAAUCUCAUAUAGAAGAUUUGUUGAUAUAGUGUAUUCAUCCAACAAUCUCUCCCUUUUUAACUGGUUCAUUGCAAUUAAACAAACCUACUGACCAACAACACUAGCGAUCACAAGCUAAAUGAACACAAUCUUCUAAAAAGGCAAAAAAGGAAACAAAAAGAAAAUGGUAUGAAAGUUCAAGCAAACCAACCCAACCCUGGAAGUAUGCUUUCACAAUCAAACUAAUCACUGUCUACAAUAUAGGGCAAUUUGAUGGAACAAAGCAUCGGAGAGUGCGUCGAAAAAUGAGAAAGGUAGUGACACACAAUAACUUAACCUCCACGAGCUUCUCUCCGGGUGGCAUCAUGGAGGAUAUCUAUAUCUACUCCAUCAGGAGGAAGCUGAACAUACCUCACCACAGAUCCCCGAAUAAAGCAGUUCCUCACUGAUAACUGCAACAAAAUUUAUCCAAGGAAAACAAAUGUCAUGUUUUCGGACCUGAUCUUUCAAGCUGACUUUUAAAACACUAAACGGAUGAUCAGUAAAUGAAUGUCCUAAUGUUAGAAUAACACUGUGUGAACUCUAAAGCAAUACGACCAAACUUGAGUUACGUCACACCAAAAUGCAAUGAAAUAAUAACGCGGCAGGUAAAAAGUGUGGUGCAGAGAACAUGAUUGCAAUAAAAGCCAGAAAUAGCAAAUGUUGUCUAAGUAGUUCGAUAUCUUCGGCACAGAACCAUAUGCAUAAGGAUGUUGUAACUAAAUGCAUAUAUGCGCUUACAUUCACAGAUGAUGUGAAGAAUCAACUCAAAACAUUUUAUCAGCGGAUGUAGCCAGAGGAAGGACCUCGUAAUUAAAUGCAUAUAUAAACUUACAUUCACAGAUGAUGUGAAGAACUAACUCAAAAAAUUUUAUCAGCGGAUGCAGCCAGAGGAACCAAGCAAAUAUUCAGCAACGAAUAUCAUGGUGAUUCUAGUAACUAAAAGCAACUCUACAUUAGAUGAUCUGAGAUUCCAACUUUAUUGCAAGAUAGUAGCUUAAACAGAUUCCUUUCAGGCUCUUUUAGAAUAAUUACAAUAAAUCCACAAAAUUAGUUCAAGUGGAAAUUCUGGUUCCUAUGAAACUUGAAAAAUCUGAUCUAAGAGUUCAAUGAAACAAAGAAAAGAAACCCUAAGGACUCAAAAGAGAGAACUCUUAGACAUUUUUGUACGACCGUAAACCCAGUACAAUUAUCACUAGGAGACAUCCUAAUUAACCUUUCAGCUGGGAAGAAAUUUUCUGUAAACCUAGGUGCAGGAAGUUCCCGCUCCCUACUUACAGGGCUUGUUCUGGCUGUUCACAGGAUCUUCAUAAAAACAAUUAGAGUUCACAUAAAUUACACCUUCUGAAAUAGAUUUCUUCCCAACUUUUUAUAUUCUUUUCUAUGAUAUUACUCAAAAUUUUCUGAAGGCUUUCCAAUCAAUGGAACUUAUAUGCUUCGUAUAAGACCUAGAAAAUAAGCAACAAAGAACUAAAGAAGUAAGACAAAGUUAAAUACAGAGAAAGAGUUGAGAGAGAGAGAGAGAGAGAGAGAUGCCUGCAUCCUGAUGAGCCAAGAGAACCUCCAUGAUGGAAGACCAUAGCUUACUUAGAAACCAUUUAGAUCUCCCUCUCUUCUAACCACUUUCUUAUCAUUUUGAAUCAAAACUGAUCAAAGAAAACAAAUGGGAAGAAGAUGUGAUUGUGCCCCCCACAGCCCUUCCUUUUUCCCCCCUCUCCUUGUUUUCCUUAUCCAACAACUGCUGUGUAUAUAGAGUGUCCCCCGCCCCGUUCCUUUCUCCCCCCUCAGCUCUCCUUUCUAGUUUUCCUUGUCCAACAAGUUUCUUAUAUAAAGAGUGGUUGAACUGACUAGAUGAUUAUAGCCACCCGGCAAGACACAUCAGAUAAAUCAACUAGGCUACACAUUAUUUUAACAUGGAUAUGUUAAAUUUCUUUUUAAAAAACUUACUGAUUUGAGCUUAAGAACAGAGAGAGCUAGCAAUCAAAAAAAAACUCUAACACCUAAAUGCGGCGGAGGGAACUUUUCCCAAUGACUCAUGUCAUAGCACAAAAUUGCACGCGCUUGGUUCACUGCCGAUCGGUUAGCAAAUCAUAAAUUUAAAUUCAAUAGGUAUGACCAAAACUUAUAAUUUUAAAAAUGCAGAUCUUUUGAAUGCCAUAAAGCACGGUUAAUGAAUUACGUUCUAAUUUUUGAGUUCUCUAUGGUUAAGUUUCAGGAGUGCAAUGCAAGGUGCGCUGGGGGCAUGCAGUAACUUCUAUAUUGUAUAAGGUAUAGACUAAAUUGACCAAAGUAGCUCUCUCCUUUGAAUCUCAUGCUGUCUAUACUGAAAACAUCUAUGGACUUUAGGUGCAGACAUGUACCCCAGCCAAAUAUUGCGUGCAUCUGGUGUAGUAUGGACCAGAUUAGAAUAUGGACCAGAUUAGAAAACCACAAGUUCUCAUCCAAUAUAAGCACCUGAUAUGACCGUUAAAAUUUAAGACUUCUGAAUAUCAUCGAACACGUUCGACAAAUUAUAUUCUUCAUUUCAGUCCUCUCGUAAUGUUCAGGAGUUUGAUGCAUGUGCACCUGCAACCUGGUGGUUUUUUUCAAUGUUUUGAAAGGUAAUAUGUGAUAUCCACGCGGUUACAAACCACAUACCGCAUAUGCGAUAUGUAGGUGCAUAUCGCAUAUCUAUAUGCGAUACAACUAUUAAAAUAUUAAAAAAUAUUUAUAGGUCCUAUAUAUAUAUAUAUAUAUAUACAUAUUACAUAAUGUAUAAUAUAUAUUAUAUUAACAUAUGUAUAUAUAUAUGAUAUAUAAUGAUAUACAUCUGUAUAUAUACAUAUAAUAUCAUAUGUAUAUACUAUAUAUAUAAUAUAUACAACUAAUUAUAUAUGUAUAAUAUAUUAUAUAUAUUAUAGAAUUAGGCUGUAAUACUAUUAAUAGUAUUUGGACUUUUUGCUAUUGAUUUUUAACCCUUGAAUGAAAAAUUGCAGAGUUAGGAUGAUAGUGGUCCCCAUAAGGUCUAAAUGAGUCCUCUAGGGUUGAGUGGGUAGUUGUUGAAUAGUAUAAAUCUAAAAGGUGGAAUUGAUUAAAGUAUGAUCUAACAGCUAUAAAAAUCGAUAGCAAAAGAGCCAAACACUAUUAAUAGUAUUCCAGCUCAACUAUAUAUAUAUAUAUAUAUAUAUAUAUAUAUAUAAUUAAGAGAGAAGAGAGAGAGAGAGAGAGAGAAAGAGAGAAGAGAGAGAGUUGAGGCUAGACAUAGACGUAGAACACAACCCCUUGGUGGGGGUUGGUGCUUCUAGGUAGUGUUCUAAACCCUUAGAUCAAACCCUUUGACUAUUAAUAGCCUUUGGAUCAAACACUAUUCCACCUACCACCACCUACCACCAUCAUCCUACCCCUAACAUCACUCAUCCAAGGAAUACAAACCCAAAGCACCAACCCGUUGUGCUUUUCGGAGUAUCUAGCUCAAUAAUAUAUAUAUAUAUAUAUUAUAUAAUAUAUAUAUAUAUAUAUAUAGAGAGAGAAGAGAGAGAGAGAGAGAGAGAGUUGAGCUAGAAUGCUAUCGAUAGCAAAACGACUCCGGUUGCACCCAUAUUGUUUUCGAUGAUGGAGCCUUAAAUCGACGAUGCAGCACUGUUGAAUAUGAUCAUCCAAACUUGAAACUAUCUAGAACCAAAUUUAAAUCUUUCGACAUCAUUGACCUAAUGAUUAAAGGGUUUCAAAAUUUAAAAUUUCAAUGGUAAAUAUAAGCGUUUUCUCAUUAACGGUGUAAAGGCUAUUCAAUCAAUUGAAUUUUGGUCAGAAAAUUCUUUAACGACUAUUUAGAACAAGAUCUAUACUCUCGAAUCUUGAUUACAAAUUCCUAUCAUCACUUUUAUAGAGAUAUUCAUUUUCAGCCGUCCUCAAUUUACGUCCACUUGAGAGACGAAAGAGAACAAUAUGGAAAAAGCAUGAAAUUUGAUUUCUAGAUACUUCAAGUGUAUAGAUCAUGUUCAAUGGCGCCGAUCACCGAUUUGAAGACUUCAUCAUCAAAAACAAUGAGUGGCAACGGAGCCCGUUUGCUACAGAUAGUAUUCCAGCUCACUACUAUAUAUAUAUAUAAAGCAAGCUACUGUGGCGCUAUUAGGAGCACAGGCAGCCCUUGUGCUUUUAAACUCUAAUUGGAUGAGAGAGAGAAGUGAAAUUGAGAAAUUGGGUGUCUCAAUUUCUAUUUUUUUUUGAAUUUCUCUCAAUUUUUCCUCUCUCUCAUCCGAACACCGAUCUAAAAUUGAUAAUGGUUAGAAGUAAGGAACACAAGGUUGUUGUGCUCCUAAUAGCACAGUAGCUACCUAUAUAUAUAUAUAUAUAUAUAUAUAUAUAUAUAUAAUAUAUAUAUAUAUAUUAAUAAUUAUAAUAUAUAUAUAUACACUUCCUAACAAAGCAAACUAACUAAAGUAACAAUUCAAAAUUCACAACUUGAAAUAAUUAACAUCAAGUAACGGACUUUGUAUGAAUACAUGUACAACUAAACUAAUAAUUAGCAAUUCUCUUAAUUAUUUAAUAUAGAAGUAAAUAGAAUUUUGAUGCAAAAUUAUAAAAACUGUCAAACAAAAAUCAAUGUUCUAAAAUGUAGUAUAAUAAAUUUUACAAAAAAAUAAUAAUUUUUUCAAUAGACUGUUAUUCACAUCAAUCGACAGGCCAACACUUAAGAAAACAAAUAUAGUAUAGGGGCAAUUGCUUAUAUACCCCUAAAAAAUUUCCGACUUUCCGAUUUACCUCUCUUAGAAGGCUAAUAUUGAAAAUACCCUUUCUACGUUCCAACCUAUUUCUAAUAUACCCCUAGAGUUAAAAUCUGUUAAUUAACUCUGUUAUCUCUGUAAAAUUACUAUUUUGCUCUUUCAAAUAUACUCUUCCACCAUCAUUGACUUUCUUAUUUGCCCUUAAAGUCGGGGGCACAAAAAGUAUUUUGACUUUUGGCCUUUUCCAAUAUACUCCUCUACCGUCACCAACAUUUCUUAUUUGCCCUUAAGUUAAGGGCAAAAUUGGCAUUUUAAUUUUUUUUAACUGUGGUAAAUAUUUAACUCACGUUUAACCCAAGUCAACUUAGCAGGAGAUAACUUGUAAGGAAGUGAAUUCUCGAAAUCUGAGAGUUAGACUUCGAUUAAAAAAUCGACUUCUUGUCGCGUUGGUAUGUCUCGGAAAGUCCGAAAACAUCAUAAAUGCAAAAGGUGCAUUGUUGGAGGUUUUCGAGAGCUAUGGAAUCAAAAAUCUGCAUACUGCAGCUUUUGAGCUCUCGGGAACCGGUCCCUAGUGGGAGAGACCCUAGUGGGAGAGACCAGUCCCCGAACGUGAAGAAUCUCAGAGAUGGGAAAAAUCGGCUAAGUCCCAGAAAACCAGCUCUCGAGAACCGGUCCCUGCGGGGAGAGACCGGUCCCAUCAGGAGGGACCGGUUGCACCGUGCGAGGGCUCCGCUGAGUUGCGGGAGAGCUCUCUGGGACCGGUCCCAUGCUCGAGAGACCGGUCCCCGAAGCCCGAAAUUGCCCAGGUUGGGCUGUGUCAUGAAGACAAAGUUGAGGAAUUUUUAUGCAAUUGUAGCAUGAGUUAGGGGUAUAUGAGAGGGUGAGCUCUCUCUCUUUCUCAUUUCUCUCCCAAACACAAACCUAAGCCUCUCUCUCUCUAAUCUCUCUUCAUCUCUCUCUAGAAGGUGAAGAAGAGAAGGGAUUUGGUGGAGAAACAAGCAAGGAGAGGGAUCUUCAUCUUCUUCUCCUUCCUCUACACCUGGGAGCUAGCUUUUAGAGGUAAGCUUCUAGGCUCAACCAUGGUAAAUUUCUAGGGUUUGGAUUUUAUACUCUAGAAUCGGUUUAGUUGGAACUCUAGCAUGCUUAAUAAGUGUUUAAUGCAUGAGUUUGAGGAUUUAGAGUUUGAUUCUUGCAUGAUUGCAAGUAGAGCUCCAAAAAUGGGAUUUCGUGAUUUGUUAGGUAUUGAUCUAAAUUGAUCGAGUGUAAAUCUAAUUGCUAGGUGUUUAAACGCGUAGGCAAAGACGGUUCGACGAUUCGUCGAGCGGGUGCAAAGUUACGAGCAAAAAGUACCUUCCAAGCUUCGUUUCCGCCUGGGAGGCCGAGACGACGUCAUAAAGUCGCCGAACUUCAUUCCUAGAGUCGUGACAACGCCAGAAGGUGGGUGGUGUCAUCCCGAAGCAACCGGGCUCCUCUUUAUGUCUUAAUACAUUUUAAAUCUUGCAUCUCUUACAUAUAAGCAUUGUAAGAUAAAUGUGCAUUUCCAUUCCUUAUGCUUUCCUAGAUGAUAUCGUAGUGUGAGUUGAAUGCUUGAUAUAGUGGAUAAAUAAGAAUUGGGUCGAGACAUUGAAUCCUAUAGUGCUGAGAUAAGAGAUGGACUCAAUAGUUGAUAGAGACAUAACGAGUGGCAUGUAGACAACAAUGACAACAGAACGAGUGGCAUUAAACUUAGUGUAAAGUAGCACUCGACAUGUGAACUUAGGGAUAGGCGGAUUCCCUAUUGAUGAGUCAUUGAACAAGAACUUUGUGUAGUUAAACACUUGCAUAUGGACUUUGGGAUAGGUGGAUUCCCGAGUGAUAGUUAGCCCUAGUGGAUAGGGUAUCCUCGAGUUGAGAGGGUUGGAUCAUAUUCGCUGUUUGUUUAGAACUUGUGUUGGUCGCUCCUCACAAGUGUGCGCUCCGGAGUUUAGUCACUUGAGGGAUAGCCUUAUGGGGUCCCUGGGAAAGCCUUAUGGGGUCCCGCAAACGGUCUCAGGUUUGUGAACGAGUUGAGUUUCCUUACCAUGAGAUGCAUGUGAGUCGCAGGCGAACCUCAGGGUUGGCCAAGGAUUGGGUAAGUUAAGAAUUGAUGAACAAUAAGGAACAUUAUUUCUUGGACAUAGUGGCAUGUUAGUAAACCACUUACUAUAUGAUGCAUGCAUACAUUAUUGAUGAUUGGGCAUAGUAGCAUAGUUUUCCUACUAUUGCAUUUACAGCUUUGAUAUCUAUCAACCUAUCUAUCUGCUUGUGCCCAUUUGGACCUAAUGGGGAGAUCGGCGGAGUCGGCGGCCGAACCCGCUGGGAACUAUGGACAAUAGUUCUCACCCCACUUUGUUGCAGGACCGAGUACGAGCGCUCCGGGCGAGGAUCGCGGUAAGGGCUUAGCGCCCUUGCAUAGUGGCUCUCCUACUGCAUUAGAGAUACCUACCUAUAUGAGAGUAGAUGAUGUAUGGGUUGCGAGGUGCAUUUUGGAGAGAUGUGAAUAAACUGUACCUAUUUCUGAAUGAAACGAAAAUGUAAAUUGUAUAAAUGGACAAAUCAUGAUGUAAUAGAUAGAACACUCUUUUCGCACUUGUAUAGAUACUUGUGUUACUUGCUCUUGUUGUUGUGCACUUAUGGUGCUUCUAUGGUCGUUGUUUGGAUCAUGUAUGUAUUGAAUUGUUCCUGGGCGAAUUCUCGUACAUAAUCCCGUGCUUGAGCCUUGGGCGGACAGGGGAGUUGCUGUCCAUUCGGCGUCUGUUCGACGUGCCCGAACCGGACCAAAUAGGUAGCGGUCUCGGGGCGUGACAUAACUGCAUGGGUAUUUUGCAAUAACGGUGGAGCAUAUGAGGGGUAUUUUAGAAAAGAAAAAAAAUAGGGGUAAAUUGAAUAUUUUCAAAUGUAUGAGGGGUAUAUAGGCAAUUAUCCCUAUAGUAUAUAGCAUCCAACAACUAUAAAAGUAUAUAUAUAUAUAUAUAUAUAUAUAUAUAUAUAUAUAUAUAUAUUAAGUAUAUAUAUAUUAUGAUAACAUCCAACAACUAUAAAAUUAUUUACCAAUAUUUAUAAACAUAAUUAUGAGAUAUGUAAGGGAUAACACCUACUAAAAUGAGAAGAGAGAUAGUUAGGUUAUACUUGAAUAAAGAUAAUUGUAUUUAUAUGCAUUAUUAUUUAUUAAACUUGUACAAAAAUAGUCAUAUAUAUGUAUAAUUACUAAUUACUAAUCAAAUAAUCCCAUUCAACGCUACAUUUCAAUCCCACCUUAGGGGAAAAAGAAAAAAAAGACACAACCGCAUAUAAGGGUUUCAAGUGCCGCCCGUGCUGUACGGCACGGCGGCGUGCCGUACCGUGCCCCCAAGAAGAGGGCACGGUACAGGGGGUGUCUCGGACUGCCCCCGUCUCGCGGCACGCACAUGCGUGCCGUUCAAGACAAAGCGGCAUGCAGGUGCGUGCCGGCGGCACGUACCGUGCGUGCCGCCCCCUUCUUUUUUUUUUUCUUUUUGGCUUUUUUUCUGGCUUUUUUUUUGGCUUUUUUUUUUCUUUUGUUCUCUGGGGUAUCGAGCCCCUGCCGAGCCACCUAUAUUGUCUUUUUUUUUCACUUUAUUGUCUUUUUUUCAACUUUUUUUUUGCUUUUUGGUGGAUGCCUUUUUUUAACUUCUUAUUUAUCAAUAUAGGAGCAAAUUUUUAAUUGACAUAUCUGAUCCAUACCGCGAGCCCUCCGCUUCCACCACAAACAUCUAUUUUUUCUUCGCAAAAUAUUUUGUCAAAAUUUGUCGCACCGCGAAGCUUUCGGUGAAUCAAGGGAAUAAAAAUCGAUCUCCUAAACAAAUUUUGAUCAUAUACUUUUAAAAAGAAUAAAAGAACAAAAAAAUAUAGAUGUAAUAUCGAGAAUAUAUGACUUUCUCACAAUACUAGCAAAUACUUAUAUCAACAUUGUCAAAUAAAUCUUGUAUCUGCAGAUGACAAUAUGCCAUAUGAUCAAGCGUGACGAUCUAUGUCGAAUUAAGCAGUCAUCUCUAUGUAAAUAUGUAAAUUUAAAUAAUUAUUGUACUUGUGAAUUUUAUUAUUGUAUUUUGAUUUCUAUUCUACAUCAGGUAUAGUUGUAUUUUACUUACAAAAAGCUUACAUGAAUAUUAAUUGAUGAGUAUAGUAAGGUAUACAUAGUAAAUAUUCAUAAUUAUUUAUUUAAAUCUUUCAAAAUAACAUUAUAAGAGUUUAUUGGAACCAAAAAAACUGAAAUAAGUCCGUGCCAAAGCGUGCCAGUCGAAGGGCAUGCAUAUCUAUCGGUACGCAAGCGUGCCACGUGUCGGCACGCAAGCAUGCCUGUGCCGUGCCGUGCCGUGCCGUGCCAAGGACAUAACGGCACGCCCCCGUGCCACGGCACUUUAAACCUUGCCACAUAUGCAGCCGCAUAUGUGGCCGCCUACCGCAUAUGUGGUCCGAUCACAUAUUGCGCUGCUUACAUAUGCAAUGCGGUUGAUGGUUCGAGCAGCAUCUACAGCCACAUAGGCCACUUUUUGGAACAUUGGGUUCCUUUUCUUUUGUGGACAAAAGCACCUGGUGCACCUAGUGUAUAGACUGGAAAAACAAAACAACCUUCUCCUGUGUUCCAAUCUAAAAGAUGUUCUAUAACUUAUGUUCUUUUUAUAUGAAGACCUUUUGAAUGUCAUAGAACACAUUCAACAAGUUAAAUUCUGAUUUUUAUUCUCUAUGACUGGGUUUUAGGAGUGUAAUCCACAAUACACGGGUGCACACAGCAAUUUGUAAAAAUUAUGAGGUAUAGACUAAACUGACAAACAUAGCUAUCUUGUUUGCAACCCAACCCUGUCAAGUGUCAAUAUUGAAAAAUUUCAUGGACUCGAUACAUGUCCUAGCCAAAUAUUGCAAGCACCGUCAUGAAGAAUUAGGUGGGGAAGAAAAUUAUGAGUCCUGAUCCAACAGAUGGAUAUUUUCUUGGGAUCGGCAUCAACACCGUUGUGAACUUUUCCCUAUUCUUGCCGUAGUGGUGGUAUUUUGGAUUGUUGGAAGAUGAACGAGGGAAGAAGAGGCGUAUGUUGAUGAUGCGGCAUGCAACAGAGAAAGCUAUUUUGAUUUGAUAGUCUAUAGGGGGUAACUCUUCUUCUCCGAUAAAAGGCGGCAACAUGCGCAUAACGGUUGCAAGUAGCACGACCCCCUUAUCCUUUUCUUAUUCUCCAAAGAGAUGUAGCAGCAAAGUGGGAGGGGUGGCAACAAGGAGAAGUUCAUAGAUUAGGUUUAUACAAAGAAAAGAGUCCCGCAUCAAAGUGCCAGCUGUAUUCUAUAGUUCCUGCUCUAUCCAAGAUGGGGCUAAUCAUCAGCUCAAAAUGCUUAAGACCAAGUUGCCAUUAUUACAAUUCUUGUCCUUAUAUACCUCUGCAUAGUUAUUUCACUACCCAAUAUGGGACUAUUGAGGUGUAACACCUUUACCUCAUUUAGGUUUUGACAUCCUCGUGAGGCCCACUAACACAAUUUGGCAUUGCCAUACGAUGUGGGAUUCUAAACGCCAUCACCCCCCCCCCCCCCCCUCCCCGACUCUUCGACGGCGUUACCCAAUCAACGGAGGCUUAAACGCCAUAUUUCAAACAUAAAAGCAGUGGAUCAAACACCCCCCACCCCCGGAUGCUCCAAUCCAAGCUCAAAAUCUUCUAGGGUUGAAGUUGGUCCACCACUAAGCUCUACAAGCAAGCUCCAAGCCUUGCCAAGGUGGGAAAGAGAGAAAGGGGUUGAGCUCCAAGCUCCCUCAAACUAGCUCCUCUUCUUCUUCUCCUCCUUCUUCUUCUUCUCCUUCUUCUUCUUCUCUCUCUAGAAGGUGUAGGGUGGUGAGAAAUGAGGAGGGAAGGGAGUGAAAUGGCUAAUAAGCCCAUCUAGAGUAACAAAAUCCAACCAGGCCCCUCAAAAACCCAAUAUUACAUCAGCCCGAACUGGGCAGUUUUCGCCCAGAGGGACCGGUCUCUCCCCAGCUGGGACCGGUCUCUCGCUGCGAACCCGAAAAACCAGCGUUCGGGAACCGGUCUCUCUCUGCGCGGAACCGGUCUCUCACUGCGAGAACGCGUUCGGGAACCGGUCUCGCCCGCCAGGGACCGGUUGCCUCAGGCUGCCUCAAUACUGCUCACUGGGGGAACCGGUCUCUCAUUCCAGGGACCGGUCCCCGAGAGUAAAAACUCUCAGGACUUGUCCAGAAUUCCAGUUUUCGAACGUUUUAGGUCGGAAUACAUUCUACAACCCUCCACCAAGUGUGGAAAAGCUCGAAAUACAACCAAACACUCGAACCUCGCAAUUUGCAAAGGUCCAGUGUGUUACACUCACUCUCUCUCUCUAGGGAUUUUCUCUCUCUAUAAAGAAAUCGCCGAUUUAGCCGUUUUCGUCGCAACGCGGCUUUUUUGCGGAUUGCGAGGGUCGCUGAGCUUUGGUGGACGUGUGAGGGAGUAUUUUGGAGAGCUUUUCGUAGCUCUGGACCAGUAGUUCACUGGUUGGAGGCCUGAGGAGGUAAUCGACUCAAUCUUUCCAUUAUUAAUGUUCUAUUGUUGAUUUGAGUGUUGAUUUUGAGGUUGUUGCUUCCAACUGACUUAAAC
RNAcentral lists this long non-coding RNA (53704 nucleotides) under Ananas comosus (pineapple). RNAcentral's name for it is "long non-coding RNA (ACOM_LNC026830)". Lineage: Eukaryota; Viridiplantae; Streptophyta; Magnoliopsida; Poales; Bromeliaceae. The record is from RNAcentral.